This 63804-nucleotide long non-coding RNA is filed under the name Ananas comosus (pineapple). RNAcentral describes it as "long non-coding RNA (ACOM_LNC017091)". Lineage: Eukaryota; Viridiplantae; Streptophyta; Magnoliopsida; Poales; Bromeliaceae. The record is from RNAcentral.
CAAAGUAAAAUUGUCUUUAUUUAUGUGAGAUCCCAGAUAGUCCUAUAUAUAAAAUAUAAUAGAGCUAAACUCUUAAUCCUACUUAAAUAUUUUUGGUAAUAGUAAGGCCCAAGAAGUUAAAAGAAUUAAACGUGAUAGGACGGAAGUAGCCCUAAGAUGAAUGACCCCCUUAGAAGUUGGGACGUCACAGAUGUAUUAAUAUAUGUAACUAAAUAUCCAGUUCCGAUACAAGGAUAUAUUAUAAAUAAUAUUAUUAUAUACAAUUAUAUAGAACUAGGCUACUAUACUAUCGGUAGCACGGAGCGCUCCGUGCUACCAAGUUGUUUUCGAUGAUGCGGCUUCCAAAUCGACGAUCGGCUCCGUUAGACUUGAUCUACACUAUUGAAAGUAUUUAGAAACUAAAUUUCAUAAUUUUUCGAUAUCAUUUACCUAUCAAACAAGUAGUCUAAAAUUGAACGGCUGAAAAUAAAAAUAUCAUAAAAAAUGAUGAUAAAAGAUUUAAAUUCAAGAUCAGAUACACUGAUCUUACUUUAAAUAGUGAAAAAAAAUUUCUAUAAAAUUUUCCUAGCAUUUGGAUUGUUUUACACCGUUAAACUCACAAACACACCACAUCGGCCAUUAAAAUUGUCAAUUUUGAGAUCUUUUGAUCACUAGUCAAAUGAUGUCGAAAAAAUCUAAAAUUUAGUUUCCAAAUACUUUCAAUAGUGUAGAUCAAGUCUAACAGAGCCGAUCGUCGAUUUGGAAGCCGCAUCAUCGAAAACAACUUGGUAGCACGGAGCGCUCUGUGCUACCGAUAGCAUACUAGCCGGACUCUAAUACUUUUAUUUUAAUUUAAAACAAAAUAAAAAUAUAUAUGGGCUAUGUGACAAAUGAAUAAAGUGGGCAUCAAUAAAGCCCGAUGGGUAUUGGGCUUUGGAUUUUAAAAGAAAAAUUGGGUAGAAGCCCGAUUCAAAACCUAAAAUUUUUUAAACCGGGUUUGGGUAUAGUAUGACCCGACCCGACCCGAACCCGGCCCAAUUCCAGCCCUACUGUUAAUAAUACCAAAGAUAUGCACAUAUAUCUUCUACUAUAACUAAAGAUAUGCACAUUUAAUAACCUCAUAAAUACCAUAUGAAAUUUGAAAUAAAAAUUGUUGGGUUGUAACAUUCUCGUGUACAUACUUAAAGAGAGGCAGAGAGGCUCCAUUGCCAUUGCCCAUUGGAGUUUGUCACAAUCUUGAUCCUAUGGCAUCCACAUUGUCAUGUACAUUUGGUUUGCUAUGGCUUUCCCUUCUUGUGGUAGGCAAAAGCAUGGAAGAGGAGAUCGACAGCAAAGAGAAAGAGCAAAUUCCGGUAUAGUUGCAUGUUUUCCAAAAUGUUUUAGCCAGUUGUUAGUACUAGAAUCUCUGAUCUUUAUAUUUUCUUUCAAUGAUUAAUUGCAUACUGUUCCUCGCAAACAUAAUGAAUUGUAAAUAUAUGCUUAUAACGUUCAAUUUUCAAAAGUUAUCCCUACAAAAGUCUUAAUGUUUUCAGAUAUGUUUCUACCGUUAGAAUCUAUUAGAAAAGUUUAGUUAACCACAGAUUAAAUACUUUACCAAAAUAUUAGGACUUUUGUAUGGAUAACUUAUAAAAGUUGAACUUUACAAAGAUAUAUUUGCAAUUCACUAUAUUUGCGUAGACUUGUAUGCAAUUAAUCCUUCCUUCAAUCAUAGAUGUCAGAUCUAUUUAACUUCCAGCUGACAAAUUAAGCGAUGUCAAAUCCAUCUCACACUAGUACUAAUAACUCAUUGGGACUACCGUAUUUAAUCAUGGUUAUUAGUAUUAGAGUUUUUUAUCCUUAUGUUGCCCAUUAUAUUCUAUUUUCUAUCUGAUGUGGGAUUAUUGGGGCGUCACAUAGCUGGCAAACAAAUCAUUGAAACAUAAAUGCAUAUAAAAUGUACUAAAAAUGUUUAAAAAAAUUAAUAGUAAAUUUAACUAAUCAUACAUUAUCAAGGGCCCAAAUGCUUUAACAAUCAUAAAACACCAUGAAUUGUUUUGGAGGCAAGUUUAAAAUGAGUUUCUCACACUUGUACCUAAGGAGCUAUGUGGUUCCACAGAAGUGUGAAAAAAAGUUUUAUGAGAUAAAAGUUUUUUAUGAAUUUUUUAAAAAGUUUUUUGCCUGUUUGGUUCUAAAGAAAAUUAACUUUUUGAAAACUUUUUUUUUCAAAUUUUAUCAAAAAUUAGUAUUAUUAUUUUUUAAAUUUUUUAAUAAAAACAAAAAUACUAAUUUUUUAUGCAAUCUAGAAAUUAAAAAAAAACUGUUUCAAAAAGUUAAUAUUUUUUGGCCUUUUUGCAUAAAAAAUCCACUUAUUUUGGACUUUUGCAAAACCGGGUCACCUUUUUCGUUUUUGCAAAUUCGGUCCGCUUUUUCAGCAAACUGACCAAAAUACCCUUAUUAUUUUUUCUCUUUCCUCUUUCUCUCUCCUCUUCGUUCUCUCGUUCUUUUUUUUUCGCCAAAAAAAAAUAGCGAAGGCCAGGCGGGCGCGCCGCCGGAGCACCGCUAGGCGGGCUCUUCUUCUUCUUCUUCUUCCUGCAGGAGCAAUUUUUUUUUCUCUUUUUCUUUUUCUUCUUCUUUUUCCUCCUGCUGGAGCUUUUUUUUUUUAUUUUUUUCCCUCUUCUUCUUCUUCUUCUUCCUCCCGCUCCGGCCCCGCGCCGCCCCUCAUCGACUUCUUCGGCCGCGCCCACGACCUCGACCCCGCGCGCCGACGACCCCCUCCUCCUCUUCCCCGCCGCCGCCGCCGAGCCCACCCCCACCGUCGUCUCCGUCGCCGUCGCCGAGCCCACAUCCCGCCCCCUGCCGGCCGAGCCCACGUCUCCGUCGCCGUCGCCGAGCCCACGUCCCACCCCUACCGUCCCACGUCCCACCCCCACCGCGGCAGAGCAGGAGCACCGCAAGCGCGUGCUCCGCGAGCUCAACUCCCUUAUCUCCGGCGUCGGCGGCGGGGGCGAGGGCGGGCCGGACGACGUGGUGGAGGAGGAGGUCACCGACACGGAGUGGUUCUUCCUCGUCUCCAUGACCCAGUCCUUCGUCAACGGCGCCGGGCUCCCGGGGCAGGCCCUCUUCUCCGGCGCGGGGCCGGGUCGGCGGCGGGGCCAGUGCACGCGGCGGCGGCGGCGGGCGGGCACGCAGGCUUCGUAAUGAUGUAAUGGUGCACCAUUACACCAUUAAUACACCAUUAAUGGUGUAAUGGUGUAAUUACACCAUUAAUGGUGUAAUGGUGCAAUUACACCAUUAAUAGUGUAAUGGUACACCAUUACACCGUGUAAUUACACUAUUAAUGGCGUAAUGGUUACACCAUUAAUGGUGAAUUACACCAUUAAUGGUGUAAUGAUGCACCAUUACACCGUUUUUUUUUUUUUCCGCCGACGCCAUCUGCCGCAGCCCCUGGGACGUCCACGUCGUCGUCCUUUCGACGACGACGAUGCACGCCUCCUCCGCCGCCUCAUCCGCCGCCGCGGUCGUCAUCGCUGUCGGUGGCGCGGCGGAGGAAGAGGCUGCGGAGUUCGUUGGCGGCGGCGGCGGCUGGAGCGGAGCGAACCGGAGUGGCGCCCGGCCACGCCGUCGACGCGUCCGGCGUCGGCCUGCUGCACUCGGCCAUCGCAUGGCGCGGGGCCGGGUCGGCGGCAGGGCCGAUGCAUGCGGCGGCGGCUGCGGCUGCGGCUGCUUCUUCUUCUUCUUCAUGGUGUAAUGGUGCACCAUUACACCAUUAAUGGUGCACCAUUACACCAUGAAAUUACACCAUUAAUGGUGUAAUGGUGCACCAUUGCCCCCUUCCCUCCCCUCACGUGCGACACGCACGGGGCCCACUCCAUCCUGGUCACCCUCUCCCACCACCUCCCCACGGCGCGCGGGGGCGAGNAGCCCACCCCCACCGUCGUCUCCGUCGCCGUCGCCGAGCCCACAUCCCGCCCCCUGCCGGCCGAGCCCACGUCUCCGUCGCCGUCGCCGAGCCCACGUCCCACCCCUACCGUCCCACGUCCCACCCCCACCGCGGCAGAGCAGGAGCACCGCAAGCGCGUGCUCCGCGAGCUCAACUCCCUUAUCUCCGGCGUCGGCGGCGGGGGCGAGGGCGGGCCGGACGACGUGGUGGAGGAGGAGGUCACCGACACGGAGUGGUUCUUCCUCGUCUCCAUGACCCAGUCCUUCGUCAACGGCGCCGGGCUCCCGGGGCAGGCCCUCUUCUCCGGCGCGGGGCCGGGUCGGCGGCGGGGCCGGUGCACGCGACGGCGGCGGCGGACGGGCACGUAGGCUUCGUAAUGAUGUAAUGGUGCACCAUUACACCAUUAAUGGUGUAAUGGUGUAAUUACACUAUUAAUGGUGUAAUGGUUACACCAUUAAUGGUGUAAUUACACCAUUAAUGGUGUAAUGGUUACACCAUUAAUUACACACCAUUAAUGGUGUAAUUACACCAUUAAUGGUGUAAUGGUUACACCAUUAAUUACACCAUUACACCAUUAAUGGUGUAAUGGUGCACCAUUAAUGGUGUAAUGGUGCACCAUUACACCGUUUUUUUUUUUUCGCCGACACCAUCCGCCGCAGCCCCUGGGACGUCCACGUCGUCGUCCUUUCGACGACGACGAUGCACGCCUCCUCCGCCGCCUCAUCCGCCGCCGCGGUCGUCAUCGCUGUCGGCGGCGCGGCGGAGGAAGAGGCUGCGGAGUUCGUCGGCGGCGGCGGCGGCUGGAGCGGAGCGAACCGGAGUGGCGCCCGGCCGACGCCGUCGAUGCGUCCGGCGUCGGCCUGCUGCACUCGGCCAUCGCGCAGGGCCGGCCGGACCUCGUCCAGCUGCUGCUGGAGUUCGGCGCCGACGUCGAGCCCCCGGGCAGCGGGCCGACGACGCCGCUCGAGGCGUCGGCGCCGGCGGGGGAGGCACUGAUCGCGGAGUUGCUCCUGGCGCGGGGGACGCAGCCGCGGCGCGGGGCCGGGUCGACGGCGGGGCCGAUGCACGCGGCGGCGGCGGGCGGGCAUGCGAGCACGCUGCGACUGCUUCUUCUUCUUCUUCAUGGUGUAAUGGUGCACCAUUACACCAUUAAUGGUGCACCAUUACACCAUGAAAUUACACCAUNAGUGGAAAAAGCAAAAACGUUUAAGCUAGGCGAAAAAGUCGUUUGACUGGUUUUAUGGGAAUAAUGAAAAAGAGAAAGGAGAAAGAGAGAGGAGAAGCAAGAGAGCAAGAAAAAAAAAAAGCGGCUUUUUUUUUUUGCUUCCGGUCCGCCCGCGAGGCGGCCUCGUGGUGGUCCGCCCGAGAAGAAGAAGAAGAAGGACGUCCUCGUUAAAAAAAAAAGAGAAAAAGAAAAAGAAGAAGAAGAAGGAGGACGACCUCGUGGAAAAAAAAAAAAAAAGGGAGAAGAAGAAGAAGAAGAAGGAGGGCGAGGCCGGGGCGCGGCGGGGAGCAGCUGAAGAAGCCGGCACGGGUGCUGGAGCUGGGGCGCGCGGCGCUCACCCAGAUGCCGUGCGCGACGCUGGCGAUGAGGUAGGAGGAGCGGUUCAAGGACGAGGAGGGGCGCGGCGAGGAGGCGGCGAUGUCGACGCGGGAGCUCGAGCGGGGGCACGCGGCGCAGCAGCUCGAGCGGGGGCGCGUGGCGAGGAAGGGGCGACUCGGGGGCUCGAGCGGGGGCGCGCGGCACCCCUCUACCACCCUCUCCCACUUCUCCUACCUCACCCGGGGCACGCACGGCGUGCACUACCCUCCCUUUCCCCGUUACCACGUGGUAAUGUGGUAAUUACCACAUCCCGAUUUUGCAAAAGCCCAAAAUAAGUGAAUUUUUUAUGCAAAAAGGCCAUAUUUUUUUAACCAAACAGAUGGUAAAGAGCUUAAAGUUAAUAUUUUAACUAUUGACACGCACACAUAUGCGCACGCAUACACAUGCAUGGAGGGCACUAGGCUCAAAAUAAUAUUUAGGGAUAAUGUUUAAUAUGUCUUUCAAAAGUUCAAUAAUAUGUGACCAAAUAUUCUUAUUGAUUUUUUAAAAAAAAUUCUAAUAUUUCUAUUUUUCUGGAGUUUAUUAAGGAGAUUGGAUUUUACUUCACUAAUUACAAUAUAAAUUUAAAAAUUCCGAAUAGUAGUAAGGGAUAAAUAAUCAAAAGCCUCUAAUAUUUAUAUAAUUUCUUUUAGAGCUCAAAAAAUUUGUUUAUAAUUUUUCUAAAGAUUUGUUAUGUACUAUAUCUCUGUUUUACAACGUAGAAAUAUUAUGAUUAGAAAUCUGAUUCAGCGUUCUUCACAGUUUGAAAGGUUUAGUAUUGCAGAAGAUUCAAAUGAAAGCUAUCAUUCAUCAAGUAAUGACUUGUUACCGGGCUUCCAUUAUGAUGUAAUAUUCUUAACUUUCUCUUACAUUACUUGAAAAAAAAAAAUUAGGGUAAACUUUAAAUUGCAACCUUGUGGUUCAGCUUACUUUUUUAACUUUGUUGUCCUAUAAUGCAAAAAGUUUUACUUUAUCAUUCUGUGAUUUAAUUUUUAUUUUACCAAAAAAUUUUAUAGAAAAUAGGGUGGUAAAGUUUUACUUUAUCACCCUGUAGGUCGAAUUGAACUUCAAUUUUUAUUGAUUUUUUCACAUAUUAGAAUAGAAAAAAUAAUUUUUUUCCCUUGUUUUGAAGCUUUAUAAAACUAUACGCAAUACAUAUAACCAAAACAAUUGAGUAAUUAAUAAUUUCAAUUGAAGAGAGGAGUCUGUUAAAUUAUUUGAUAAAGUUUAAGGAUGCAACUGCCAAAAUUAAAAAUUUAGGCGCCUAUUUACAAAAGAGCUAAAGUUCAUGAGGUUUUCUUAUACAUAUGUUUCCUUUUUUAUUUUUUAUAGUUGGCUACAUAUCAAACAUACACAGGUGAAUAUUACGGUACGAAAGCCAAGAUAAAUUUGUGGGGUUGCCCAGAAAUAAAGUCUAAUCAGAGAAGUUCUGCAUCAAUCUGGGUUGUAAAUGAGCAUCAUAAGUUGAAUAUGAUGGUUGCAGGAUUUCAUGUACGUAACACAAAUACCUUUUCGUGUCUCAACAUCUAGUACAAUAUAUAUAAAUUAGGGGCAAUAGCUUAUAUAUCCUUUUAGGCUCCAUUUGGAUCGAAAAUUAGUAGGAACUAGUUAUAUCGGGGAUAGGUACAAGUAUGGAUUUUUGUAGGAAUAAGGAUAUUUUUUUGUUUGGAUGAAAUUGUGAGUAUAAGCUGGAACUAAAAAAAUUAUGUUUGGAUAGUUUUUGGGAAUAAGAGGAAUAGUUGGUCGUUAUAAAUAGAAAUUAAACUUAAAUUAAAAUUAUAAACUUAUAAUUUUAAACUUAUAAUUUUAAAAUUUAAAAUUUAAAAUUUUAAACUUAUAAUUUUAAUUUUAUCCCUAUAAUUUUAAACUUAUAAUUUUAAAUUUAAAAUUUUAACUUAUAAAUUUAAAUUAGAAAUUAAAAUUUUAAAUUUUAAUAUUAAAAAUUUUAAUUUUAAAUAUCAAAUUUUAAAUUUCAGACCAAAUUUAAAUUUCAAAGAUAUAAAAUAACAAAUUUAAAAUUUGAAAACUAAAAAUAUCAAAUUUAAAAUUUAAAAUUUAAAAAUAUCAAAUUUAAAAUUUAAACUUUAAUUAAAUUUAAAAUUUUAAUUUAUUAAUUAUAUUUAUAAAAUUAUAAAUUUUAAUAAAUUUAAAAUAAAAAUCUCUCUCUCUCUCUCUCUCUCUCUCUCUCUCUCUCUCUCUCUCUCUCUCUCAUUCCCCCCUUUAUACCCGAGCCAAACGGAGUGUUAAAAAGUUUCUAACUUUCUUAUUUAUCCCUCUUAGAAGGUUAAUAUUGAAAAUACCUUUUUUACGUUAUAUCUUAUUUCUAAUAUACCCCUAGAAUUAAAAUCUGUUAAUGAACUCUAUUAUCUCUAUGAAAUUACUAUUUUACCCUUUCAAAUAUACCCUUCUACCAUCACCGACUUUUCUUAUUUGCCUUUUAAGUUAGGGGUACAAAAUGUAUUUUGUUUUUUAGUCUUUUCAAAUAUACCCUUUUACCAUUAUCAAUAUUUCUUAUUUGCCCUUAAGUUAAGGACAAAAGUGGUAUUUUAAAUUUUUUUAAACUGUCGUACAUAUUUAACUCACGUUUAACCAAAGUUAACUUAACUGGUGGUAACUGCAGGGGUAUUUUGGAAUAACGGAGAAAUAUAUGAGGGAUAUAUUCGAAAGAAAAAAAAAAGGGGCAAAUAAGAUAUUUUUAAAGUUUUGAGGGUAUAUAGGCAAUUAUCCCUAUAAAUUAUAAUGUCUCUUCUUUUGCUUUUAUGUUUUGUGUUGAAACAAAGUGUAAAAUUUUUAAAAUGAUGAUACCUUGUACUCAAUUAUUUUUUAUAAACUUACUAAGGGGCCGUUUGGUUAGAUGUAAUUAUAAAUACAGUAUUGUUAGAGAUGCAUGCAGUUGGAAAUACAGCAGUUACAACUAUAUGAAUCCUGUUUGGUUGGAUGUAGUAGAAAUCACUACAAGUAUAAAUAAUUUAUUUGGUUGCAUGCAGUUGAAAAAUAAUUUUUAAAAUUUUAUAAUUUUAUAUAUAUGAUGGUGAGAUUACCUUCAAUGUAAAAAAAAAAAUAAUUUUUUUUAAAAAAAUAUUGAGGAGGUAAGCAUACCUUUUAUAUAAAGUUACUCUCUCCAACUGCUGCAGUUGGAACUGCGUCCAAUUUGGGCGUAGUUCGAACUGCUGCAUUUGGGCCUCAUCCUGCAGUUCCUACUGCAGCAGUUGAAGCUAAAUAUAUCAAACCAAAUAUGAAAUUUGCAUUUACAUGCAGUUGCAACUGCAGUGCAGUUGCAACUACAUGCAACCAAGCAGCCCCUAAGUUGUAAAUUUAAAUUCAUUACCAAUUGUUACUUACUCUUAGUUUAUAUUUCCUUCCUGCAUGUGGCAUCUUUUUUUUUAAUUCUAAAAAUAUUUAUAUGUUUUAUAAAUUGUUUAAAUUUUUAAUAGUGAGUAAAUUCUGCACUGGACAUAUCCUAGUAUCAUAAACUUAUUAAUGCUUAAGGUUUCGAAGUAACUAAUAUUUUCCAAAAUAUCGCAUGACAGGUAUAUCCCAAAUUAUACAAUGAUACAAAGCUUCAUUUCUUCGCAGCUUGGAAUGUAAGGAUAAAAUUACUCUCUCCUAAUCCUUUGCAAUACUCAAAAGUAUAAAUAUUUUAUAUUUUUUAACUGUAGGUAGGCAAUGAUGAGUCGAUCGGUUGCUAUAAUCUCCGUUGUAAAGGCUUUGUACUGGUCAAUGCGCAUGUACUUACACCGGGUGAUGUGGUUGGCCCUGUCUCUAUUUAUAAUGGUCCGCAAUACUAUAUGACAAUCAGUAUAAAGAAGGUUAUGCUUUUUUUUUCACUAAGAUUUUUACUAUUUGAUUUUAUAAAUAGAAAAAUAGUAAAACAUAUUAUUUAUGAAACAUUGAAAUGCACUUCAACCCUUGAGGCUUUAUAAAGGCUUUAGUUUGGCCACCUCCUUUUAAAGUAAACUCAAAUGCUUUUGUAGCUUUUGUGUUGCCAUUUAGAAUGAGUUAUAUAGUCGAAAGAACUUAUAAUAACAUAUAUAUGUGCACCUACAAUUUGAUAUGAUUUUAACUUCUUUUUGUCAUGAAUCUCUUGAAUUAAAACUUCAUCCAUAGAAGUAAAAAAUAGAUAAUAAAAGACCAAGUUUAUCAUAUCUUAAUUUCUCUCACAUUCAUAGUAAUUUUCGAAAAGUACCUUACAAGCCAUUUGUAACAGCUAAAUUAACUAGAAUUUUACAAAAUAUUUACGUCACAAUAAUUUUGGAUGAAAAAGUACUAUGCCCUGUAAAAAGUACUAUCGUUUUAGAUCUCAAAAAUAUAUUUUUGUUGCAUAAUUUCACACAUAUUAUUUUGGUUGUUUUAAAUCUUUUUCUUAUUGGGUUGACUAUAUUUUACUGGUAAUGAUAGGAUAAUGUCCUUUUCUCAUCUUACUAUUUGUACAUGGUUUCAUGAUAGGAUUUUCAAACAGGAGACUGGUCUCUUUAUAGAGAAGAUUUAGGAAAUGCUCAAAUAAUAGGUUAUUGGCCGAAAUCUCUUUUUACAAAUUUAGAUAAGAGUGCAAGUAUUAUUGCAUGGGGUGGACAUGUUACCUACAAAAAGAAGGAAAGAGGCCCUCCAAUGGGAAGCGGGCAUUAUGCUAAUGAAUUGGAAGGAAAAGCAGCAUUUAUGAAAAAUCUUGAGAUUUUCGAUGAAAAAGGUGAAUCCCAUCAGCUUACAGAUGAUGGACAAUUUGCUAGAAUUGAUAAGGGAAAAUGUUACACAGUUACAGAAUUAGUUGAUUCAGGAAAGUACGGACUAAAAGAUGGGGUUUUAUUUUAUUUUGGUGGUCCUGGUGGUUGUUAUUAAGUGAUAACAUAAGUUUAUAUAUUCUUUCAAUAAGGUACUAAUAUAUUAAACUUAUGACUUGUCAGCAAGUAUAUAAUAAGUUUUUUCAUUUAUUUACAAUAUGAGAGGACCUGUACUUUAUUAUCUUUUCUUUCUAAAUCUUUGACCUCAAGAAUGAUAAUGUAACGAUCCGACUCGCUAGCAAUAAUAAUUCAUUGGGCCAAAAUCACCCACCCAAAAUGCUUCGGUCCAGUUCUUACUACUAGGGUGGAGUUCUCUUAUAUGCGCAAUGACAUACGUAUUGGGGUGUCACAAACUUCCCCGUACACACGACCCAAGAUCACUAAGCGAUGUGAGACUUUUCACGAGGCUAGCUUUUUCGCCUUGUGGCGCUCAAGUGUUGCAUACCUGAGCUAGCCUUCCCGAGUCCUUAGCAUGGACAGGUCUCCAAACUUAAUAGCAGAAUACCAAUUCAAGUAUUUUGCCAAGCUUGCUCCUCUGCGAGCCGUACAGCCGAAUCCCUCGUCGGACUCCAUAAGUUCCCAACAAGCAACCCCAAUACCGAGGUUAACCACCAAGCUAGGUGCAUCCCGUUUCGCCAAACAAACUCUCCUCUAGAGUGCUCCACAGCCGAAUGCCUCGUUGCCUUCACUUGUAUAGCCACAAGGAUAUUACAAGUUCUCCCCUAACUUAGACCAAUACGAGUAUAGCCGAGCGUCCUGCUCCCCACGUGUUUCGCUCCUACGACUUGACCCGCACAACGUUAGCGUCAAGGUCCAGACUUUGCAACAUCGCAUGCCACGAAGUGUCACAAGCCGAUCGCUGGGACUUAGCGGCCACAUUUGUUAGGGAAUUGCCUUCGUUGACUUGACGGUGACUCCUCGUUAGCCUUUGUCAUUCCGACCUAACUUAGCCUGUCAAAUCAUGUGAAAUUUUGAUAAAAUUUUUUUUAUACUAUAUUAAACAAGAUCAAUAUUUUUGAUCUAAAAUUUUAAUGUCAUAUCAUCACAUUUUGUAAGACUUUUAUUUUCAGCCGUUGAUUUUAGAUAUGACAUUAAAAUUUUAGAUACUUCAAAUACUCUAGAUCCAGUCUAAUAGAGCCAAUCGUCAAUUCGAAAGUCCUAUCAUCGAAAACAACUUGGAAGCAUGGAGGGUUUCGUGCUUCCAGAAGCAUACCACCCUCAUUCUAUAACUAAAUAUCUUAUUUUAGAAAACUAAUGUAUUGGACUUCCGGGUCGAGCUCGGGCCAGGCUUAGACAUGUCCAGAUAGGCUCAAAAUUUUUCGGGCUGAAAUUUUUAAAUCCGACCGGGAUCCAAAACUAUAAUUGUGGUACCUAAAGCCUGGCCCAUACAUAGCCCAUCAAGCAGGGCCUUGUUUAGGCUCGGGCAGUUCCACCUCUAAUUAUAUUACAUAAUUUUUUUUUAUAAAUAUUCAUUUUUUUGUUUUCUCUCUCUAACUUUUAAAAAUUUAUAAUUUAGCCCAGUGUUUUAUUAUUAUACCGAAAAUAUCCUUCAAAAUAAUAUAAAUAUAUUAAAAAAUAAUUUUUUAUAGAAGAAGUAAAGGUAAACUGGUUAUUUUGCCUCCUUCAUUAACAUCGUACCCUCUUAAAAAUAUUUUUUAAAUUUUAAAAAAAUAAAAUAUAAAAUUUUGAAACUUUAAAAGAAAAAGUAAAAAAAAAAAUAUUUACGAAAAUUUUUUUAUAAUUUGCAUAAAUUAUAAUAUAUAAAAUUUAAGGAUCAAAAUAUCUAUCUUUCCACAAUAAUUCUCACUAUUAUCACACUGGGGGGGUGGGGGAGAAGCAGUAGUGCGAAUAGAGAGAGAGAGAGAGAGAGAGAGAGAGGGAGAGGGUAGAGGGAGAUGGUGGCGAUGGGGGGGAAGGGUUUGGGGCGGCUCCUAGCGGCGCUUGCGGCGGCGCUCUUCCUCCGCGCCGUCGCCGGCCCCGGCCCCGCGCUUCCCCUGCCGGAGUACGCCGACGAGGACGCGGCGGAGCGCGGCGGCGCCGUCGCCGGAGACGACGAGGGGGAGGAGGGGGAGGAUGCGGUCGCCGGAGGAGGAGGGGCGGUGGCGCCGGUGACCAUCCGCUGGAGCGGCGUCACCUGCGCCCUCUCCGACAAGCGCGGGAAAACGGUGAGCUCGAUUGCGCACACUCAUGAUUUGAUGAGGCGAUGAUGAGAGGGAUUUAAUAAUUCUAAUCUACGAAACCCUAACAUUUUUUCUUUAAUUCAAUUCCCAUUACGGGGAGAUGCUUGUGCGCACGUUAGCAUUUGUAGGGUGGAUUUGCUAAAUUGUUCCGCUCUGUUUCCUGUUUAAUUAAUAAUAAAUGUUCCGGUAAAAAUGUAUGGUGACCCCCUCAACUAUAGGUGUUUCUGAAAUAGGCCCCUUAACUUCCUUUUCUUUUUUGGGGGGGUAAAAUUGAGUUUUUUUUAAUAGUUAAUUAACCUAAAAAACAUGUCAAAUUUCAUGCCUCAAUUAGUUAUCAGCAGUUAAUUUGUCUAGUUUUAUUUGCUAUAAAGUAAUUCAAACUAUUAAAUUUGAUGAAAUUAUCGAUUAAAUUUGGUAAAACUGCUAAUUUAUUUGGUUAAAUCACUUAAUUCUGAAAAAUUAAAAGUUUGAGGGGGCAUCAAUAAAAUAUAUAUAUAUAGUUGAGAUGGCUAUUUCAGAGUGAACUAUAGUGAAGGGGGUCUCCAUACAUUUUUACCUAGAUUUUUCCUGCUUAAAUGUGGAACCUGUAAUUAUGUCAUGUAAUUAGUUAAAUUACUAGUAGUGUAUCAUACAUGACCCAUAGAAUAAGUACUUCACCAUUUAGUUUCUGGUUGUUUUCAGUUCCUUUUCUUAGUUAUUAUUAUUAUUAUUUACUGUUAUCAAUAGUUGGUAUGACACUAAUGCAAAAUGCUUAGUAAUAGAAAAUUUUAGGAUGUUAUAGUAAAUUUUACUUAUAUCUUUGAUGCAUGUAGUCCCUGCAUUGAUUUCAUUUAAAAAAAUAUCAACUUUAAUGCCUUGAAUAUCUUAUAUAAUACUCUAGAUAUCUUUUCAAUUUAUUCUGUGUUGUUAGAUGAGAUUUUUGCUGUCGAAUGUAAGUGGAGAGGCGAAACCAGGAAGAUUACUAGCAAUCAUGGGCCCUUCGGGGUCGGGGAAGACAACUUUGCUUAAUGUGCUAGCUGGACAGCUUGCGGCAUCACCUCGCUUGCAUCUUUCCGGGUAUUUGGAAGUUAAUGGGAGGCCGAUGUCGCGAGGUGGUUACAAGUAAGCUCUGCUCAUGUGUUUGUCAGGUGUCAAUGUGUGACCAAAACUUUGCCUUCCCUAUUGCCUUAAAUAUGGCGCAUUUGGUUUGGGGAUAAAUUGUACCGAGAUAUUUUGCUAUCAGUUGAUUAUCCUGCUAUCCCAAGAUAGUUCAGAAGAAGGUGAAUUUUGUUUGUAGAUUUACCUUGUAGGAAUAACUUUAACGACUUCUGCGAUAGCUAUGAUGACUAUGGAGAUAGCAUCAGAUUAAGGGAUGGAUAUACGAUGUAAGGUGUUGAUUGGAGGCUUACUUUCCUGAUUAUCAUGCAGUUUAUUGUGUUUGGCUGAAUAAGGCGGAAAAUGUGCCCCUCGUUGUCCCCAACCAAAUAGAGCAUCAGAUAUGAGAAUCUAGGAAACUAAAUAUGUUGGUUUGCUUUUGUAGGAUUGCUUAUGUGAGGCAAGAGGACCUUUUUUUCUCGCAGUUGACUGUGCGAGAAACACUUUCACUUGCUGUUGAACUCCAGCUUCCUGAUUCAUUGCCACCUGAGAAGAGGGAGAAGUACGUCGGCGAGCUUCUGUUCAGGCUGGGCUUGGUGAGUGUUACAUCUUAAUUGGAAGUCUAACAUACAAGACUCCUGACAAGGGAUUACAUAUUAUGACUAUCUGCUUGUAUUUAAAUGUUGGAUAAUGUGAAUUUAAGUAAGAGGGAGUGUGUUGCUUUACUCUGUUUUAGGUAAGUUUCCUUUUAACAGUUUGUCUUCUCUUUUUCCUUGUUUUCUUGGAAUUUUCAUAUUAAAGACGUACUUAAUUCUUUCGUCAAACAAAAAAACAAAGAUGUAACUUCUUGCCUUUCUUUUUCCUUAUUGUGAUCAUUGUUGCCAAUUUAAAGGUCAGUUGUGCUGAUUCUAUUGUGGGCGAUGCAAAAGUUCGAGGCAUUAGUGGCGGUGAAAAGAAGCGCCUAUCACUUGCUUGUGAAUUGAUUGCUAGUCCAUCUGUCAUCUUUGCUGACGAACCAACUACCGGUAUGCAAUCCAUUAUCAUGACCAGCUUCCUCUUUGGGACGGCCUGAUUAUUUCCUUCCGAAUUAUAUAGAAUUUUCACUGCGUGAAUAACUAAUAUACAUUAGUGUUGAAAUUUUAACUAUUGCUGAUAAUCUGAUGUAACAAAGAUCUGCUUAAACCGACAUUUGACUAUGUAUUCCAUAAUUGUAAUGCAUUAUGUUGAUUACCUAUCCUAAUUUAUUGCUGUACUUUUAUUUGUUAGCUGUUGCGAAGAUGUUAUUGAUGAUCGCAUAAGGGAAAGGGCAAAAGAUAGAAAAUCUAACGGAACCUAAUUCCAAGGGCAGAAAACGGAAACUACUAAUGGAGUCUAAUUAUAUAUAAGCUUUCUUGUAAUCUCUCGACUUGAAACAAGUUGGCCUCACAUAUUGGUGCUGCUAAAAUUUUUCGUGGAAUGUUAGUUGGUUUUUUUCUCCGAAAUUAAGAAGUUUUCUUCACUUUACUCAACCUUUAACUUUGUAAGGUAGUUGCAUGAAAUCUUCUGUGGGAAAAGAAACUUUCUGAAGGAUCAAUUGUGACAUGGAAAUAUAAGCCUUGGAAAAAGCAAGUUUGCUAAUUAAUAUUGUUGUUGCCUAUGAAUAUUUCCUUAAGAGAAGGAUCUCUAGUUACAUGGAGGUAACAUAGAACUUUUCCUGUGUGUUGUUGGGCCUUUAAUAGGAAUGCAAGAUAAUAGAGCCUACUGGAUAUGGAAACAAAACAUGAUGUUAAAUUGAAAGGGCUUGCAUCAUGUACUGUUUUAUCCAUGGAUACCCUCAAACAUGAAACAAACGGAGCCAGGAUGAGAAUGCUCAGAAUAGAUGGGUCAAAGAUGUCACUACAGAACAAAGAAGCAAUUUUGUAUUUAUGGCAAGUGGAACUGAACUAAUCAAGAAGCCAAAAAUGAGAAAGUUUUUUAACAUUUUCCAUUCCAGAUCAAAUAUAUCGUCCUUUUAACAAGAGUGACUGACUCUGUUUAAGGUUCUAGCUAGGACAGGAAACUGGAAAAGACAUGGAUAAGAACAAUGCCGAAGAUAAUGAUCUUUCUCUAUUGGUAGACACGUGAUCCUAAAUAAAGUUAAAUGAUGAAAGAGCAUUCUGUUAAUUCCAUUAAAAGUGGUUAUAGUUUGGAUAUAGUUGUUGCUCUUUUCCUUUAUGUGUGCUGCUGAUCAUUGAACUUCAUAGUCGAGAUGUUCAACUUUUUUCUUUUGAGCAGCUCUCAUUCUUGUGUCUCGCAGUUUCUUCAGUAUGUUCCAGUAGACAUUUGUAUCAGUUCGUCUCGUUCAGUUCAUGAGUUAGCUAUUUAUGCUGUAGGUCUGGAUGCCUUUCAGGCAGAGAAAGUGAUGGAAACUCUUAGACAGCUUGCGGAAGAUGGACAUACUGUGAUCUGCUCUAUACACCAGCCAAGAGGUUCAGUCUACAGCAAAUUUGAUGACAUUGUAUUAUUAUCCGAGGGAUCAGUUGUAUACAUGGGUCCUGCAAAAGAAGAACCUCUGACCUACUUUGCUACAUUUGGGUUGUGACUCAACCACCGUACAUUGGAACACCCUGUUUGCAAUAUAAAUAGUUGUUUCUUCACAUAUUUCUGAUUCCUUGUUUUUCUUAACGGUAUUCUCUAUCUUAUAUUGUCUUAGUGCAGUUGUCGUUGUCAUUCAGUUUUGUCUUCAUUAGCCCAACAAAUAACAAAGAGACCUGGAAAGUUAUGUAUUUACAUAACAACCCUGCAACAUCCGACUUUCCGUACAUGCCCUUCAAAACCUUAAUUUGUUACAUAUAUGCCAUUGUAAUUAAGAGUGGCACUCUUCGAAAUUUUUUUUCCCUAUUGCAAAGCCCUCUUUCCCUCAUGAUGAAAAACUGCACUUUCGUGGGUUAUACAUUAAAAAUUCCAGAUAGUAUAGUUUCUCUAGUAUCAUAAUUCAUGUUUUAUGUACACAUCCUAGUUCCACGUAGGCAGAAAUUAAUGUUUUCAUAUUUGUAUCAUAUAAGUUUAUACAUGUAUGAUUUUAUUUAUCAAAUAGUUGCAUAUGUACCUAAUUCUCAUCUGUAUAGACAUAUUUGUGUUUUAGUGCUUAACAAAAGUCAAUUUAGACUUUGAAUUUGGUUGGUGAUGCCAAUUUUGUCAGGUUUCAAUGCCCGGACCAUGUGAACCCAGCUGAGUUUCUUGCUGAUCUCAUUUCAAUCGAUUAUAGUUCUGCUGAAAGUGUACAUUCUUCUCAGAAAAGAAUCGAUGAUCUUGUUGAAGCAUUUGCUAACAGGAUUCCAAUUACUGAGUGUAUCAGUCCAAUUACAAUUUUGGGGACCUCCAAAUUUCCAGCAAAAGUUGGCAGGAAAACUCUAGUUAAGAAGAGAAGUGGUUGGUGGAGGCAAUUCUGGUUGCUUCUUAAACGAGCUUGGAUGCAGGUUUGUUUGAAAUAUUUCCUUUAGCACACCCAAGUGCCAUUCAUGUACUGUCUUUUAACUGUAUACCUAAAAAAAGUGGUUAUUUGCAAAAUGCACUUCUUAAAGAGCCCAAAGAACCUCUUUUUGUUAAGAAAAAUAAUUCAUCUUUAUUCAUAUGUCUAGCCUAGACUUGGGUGUGAUUCCACAAUAUUAUUCUAGAUCUUAAUAAACGUGAUUUUUGACUUCUUAUGCAGUGAGUUAUCUUCAUAUUUGAGGCAUUGGUAAGCCAAAAGCCCCAAUAAAUACGCUAUGAAAUUCCGAUGACUAAAUAUAUACAACUUAGUACUAUAUAUGUUGGAAAUCCUCAUGCUGUUUUCUUUUGUUGGCAAAUAAAUCAGAAAACUCCUUAUAUUUGGCCCUUUGUAGUGUUAACAUGGAUGAGAUGCCCCUUCGACAGAUGAGGCAAUUUGUAUUUGUCAAAACUGGAAUAACUGCAGAAAACAGCUUGUUGUUUAUUCUCUUCUUUAUUGUGUCAAAGUUGGCAACUGGCUGAUAGUUAAUUAUAAUGAGCACAUCUGGAAAAAUGUCAACUAAAAAGCAGAUAUAAGAUAAAGUUUUCCGGUCAUGCAAUCAUAAAUGCUUACGAACAUCACACAACUUGUGUUAAUUGUAUUCACAGAAGCUAUUCAGAAAUCUGCAAUAUUUCCUGCUAAUUGGCAUCUGGCAACUCAAAUUUGCUUAUACGGUCUUCUAAUUCACUUCUAAGUUCUAAAAGCAGUAAGGGGUGCUUCAUUGCCAGGCUUGGCGUGAUGGACCAACAAACAAAGUGAGGUCGAGAAUGUCCAUCGCUUCAGCAAUCAUAUUCGGAUCAGUCUUCUGGCGGAUGGGGAGAAGUCAGACAUCCAUACAGGACAGGAUGGGACUUCUUCAGGUACUCCUUUUCUUGCAUUUUGUCGUAGUCAAUAUGUAUACUUGAAAUCCUUAAGAGUGAAGUUUUGAGGGAAAACAUGCGAUUGAAAAAGACCUCCUAGGGAUAAGAGAAAUAUGCCCUUCCUUUUGUACAUAGUCCUUCGUACACUUGGUGCCAUUAUCGAUUUGUUACAUAGAUCAGAUGCAAGUUCCUAAAUACAUCGAGAACAUCCUUCAACUUUUCCUCUCUCUCUCUCUCUCUCUCUCUCUCUCUCUCUCUCUCUCUCACAGAGAGGAUGCAUUUGCCAACUUUAUUUUUCUUACACACGGUCUCUGAUGGUGCAUGCCUCCACUAUAAUCUCCUUAUACCCUACCAGAGUAGUGUCAGCAUAAAGUUCAAGAAAAAGGCUUAGGGGCUUUUUGGUUUCUCUGAAAAGUAUGAAAAAAUGUUUUCUCAGAAAAAUCCGGAAAACGUAGACAUUAGUUUUCUAUGAAAUCUGGAAAGAAGUUUACCAAAAAAACUAGUUUUUCUUGGAACUAAACGGGCAGAAAAUUGGAAAAGGGAUUUUCCAUGAAAACUUUUUCUCAGAAAACUUCUUUUCAUAUUUUUCCGAGGAACCAAACAGCCCGUUAGCAGGGGAGCAGGUUUGUAUGUAGCUUGCUGCUGUGUAACACCACCAUGUGCUUCUUCUCCCAAAUAAGUAAUAACAUCAGGUUCUCUUGGAGUUAUGUCUUAUAAUGCACUCUUUAUUUUUUUUUUCACCUAUUUUUAUAGCUGCUGAUUUUUCUCAGUUGCACUCAAAAAGGAAAUUUUGUUUAAUAUAAUAUUUUUUCUUUGUGCUGGCAAAGGUGGCUGCAAUUAACACAGCAAUGGCGGCUCUUACCAAGACUGUUGGAGUUUUCCCAAAGGAACGUGCAAUAGUAGAUAGGGAACGUGCUAAGGGUUCCUAUUCCUUGGGCCCAUAUCUUUUGUCUAAAUUGCUUGCUGAAAUCCCUAUAGGAGCAGCAUUUCCAUUAAUGUUUGGUACAAUUUUAUACCCAAUGGCUCGUCUUCAUCCUACUAUAUCCAGGUCAGUUUUAUUUCAUACUUACACUGGUUAAUUUAUUCAUACCUCUUUUCUCAUAUUCUUUUUUCCCCACCUCUUUAUUUUCGUGUUCAUUCCAGACCCUUUUAUGUAAUAUUUUCUAAUCUCAACCUACACACCCUGAUGUUUGCUUGACGAUUUCCGUUUCUAUAUGCUAUACAUUUUGCGUUCGAUCAGCAUAACAAAACACCUUAAUUUAGUUCAUGCUCUCUAUGGGGUCCACGGUUUGUGGCUUUCACCAUGAAAAAUUCUAUAUUUAUAGAAUCUGAUAUAUGCUUCUUCUCGUUUUUUUUGGUAAUUUGUCCAUUUUUUAAUUUGAAAUGAAAUUUAUGAAAUUUUAGAUUCGCUAAGUUCUGUGGCAUAGUGACUGUCGAAUCCUUCGCCGCAUCUGCCAUGGGUCUUACCGUUGGGGCGAUGGUCCCUACAACUGAGGCAGCAAUGGCUGUUGGGCCAUCACUUAUGACUGUAUUCAUUGUCUUUGGAGGCUAUUAUGUCAAUGCCGAGAAUACCCCCAUCGUCUUCCGAUGGAUCCCUCGAGUCUCUCUCAUCAGAUGGUAUUUUACUUAGAAUCUCCCUACAUGAAUGUUUUUUAGUACAGUUUUUCUCAAAUCUGGCUAAUGAAUUUCAAAUCUUUCUUCAUUACUUACAGGGCUUUCCAAGGGCUUUGCAUUAAUGAAUUCAGUGGUCUCGAAUUUGAGCAUCAGAAUAGUUUUGAUGUACAGACUGGAGAACAGGUACCAAAGUGUAUAAAUAUUUUUUGGGUUACAGCAUGAAUUGAAACUGCUUCAAAAGGCGCUGCUGCAUAUUACGUAAAACAGUGAUAGUACGUAAUGAUACUAUGCCAUUGAUAAUUGCUCGCUACUGAAAUAUAUCUGGAGUUUUGGGGUUUCUAUAACAGUGAAGUAUAAUAGAAACAAACAAGGUCACUAGCAAUCGAAAGUGAAGCAUUAAUAGCUUCCAACUACAGCAGAAGCAGAAACUUCAAAAUAUCAAAUUGAAGCUUAUACUUUGGGACUAUGAAGCUUAUUUUAGCUUCUUGCUAAAGAGAAAACAAACAUUUUCUUCAUCAAACCUCUUGCUCUUGCUUCGUAGAGUAGAGAGUAGUUAUUUUGGAAGCUAUAGCUGAAGCAGGCACCAAAUCACCAUAGUUUAAUAGGAAAAUUCCAUCUAAAUAAGCUGAAAAAAAGGCAUUACUGAUUUGCUUUCCGAGUUUUCACAUCAUCUUGUUCUAAUUUUAUUUUUGAGAAAUGUUAUUUGAUGGUCCAAGCGGUCGUUCUUUCGUUAUCCUUUAGGUUUUGGAGAGGCUUUCCUUCGGAGGAAGCCGCAUCGGGGAUACGAUGAUCGCGCAGGGAAGGAUUUUGAUGUUCUGGUACUGGACAACUUACCUACUGCUGAAGAAAAACAAGCCAAAAUACCAACAGCUUCUGCCCCCCACUACAGUGAAGCACCAAGUUGAGCAACUUCAACCUGCCAAGGAGAGAUCUAUAUGAUCUUUUCUCCGGUAGCAUAUGUAAUCGCGGCAUUUUGAAUUAGGUUUAGUUUCUGUUUAUGUGGAGAGGGUGAAUGUUGAUGGCCUCUUUGUUCUGAUAUAAUAAUGUUUUUAAACAUGUAUGUUUUUUCAGUACCCUAGUUCGGCAAAUGAUUGUAUCACGCUUGCUGCAGAGUGGAGUUUAAUUUCAGUGGUACUUUGAAUGUAAUUAUUAAUGCAAUAUAGUUGAAAAUGUAUGCAGUUAAAAAUACAAUAGUUACAACUAUGAAUAAAACGUUUUACGCGUUUGUUUGUAGAAGUGCGUAAGUUCAAGGGUUUCAGUACAAUUUUUCCACAAACAGAAUCUUCUGUAUUGGGGUUAAUCUCACAACUUCAUGUGUUAAGAAUGAAACCAAAUAAAUUAUUCAUAACCCACUAUAGAGCCCGCGAUUCGCGGCGGGUCAAUAAUUUUUCAGUCAAUCAAUAUAAAUAAUUCUUAAAUUUUAAAAAUUAAAAAAAUAUUAUAACCAAAAAGAAUCAAAGAAAAAAACUCAUAUAGUCUAUUACACAUUAUAAAAACUAAACUUUUUUUUAUUAAUAUUUUUUGACUUUCGGUAUUUAUCGAGUUAGAGUAUUUUAAUAACUUCACUAAAAAUUCAAUCAAAUUUAAUAAUUUUAAUAGCUAUUCUAUAAUUAAAUUUUUUAAUUACAAAUUUAAAAUUGGAGGACUUAUUCUAAAUUGCCAAAUAUAUGAGAUUGUCUUUAUCUUAUUAUAAUUGACCGGAGAAAGAAAAGAUUAUUAUAUGCAUCUACUAUUUAUAUGCAUCUACUAUAUAUUAACACACCAUACAACUUAUAUUAGAGGACUAAUUUUUAAUAUCAAAUUUUAAUUAAAUAUAUCUGAUCUAUAAAGUUUAAUAAUUUAAAUAUAUUUACUGAAUUGAAUUUUAAAAUUUCUAUUAGAUAUUUUAAGUAUGUAUUGUAUGUAAUUAUAUACACCCAGUGUAGAGAAUGCUUAAUAAAGUGAACUCAUAAUUCCAAGAAAAUGAGAGGAUAAAUUUUUACUCUCAUUUGGUGUAUACUAAUAUUUUAUACACUGCAAAAUUAUAUUGGAUGAUUGAUAAAAUAUCUGAUAAUUAGUAUUAAAAAAUAAAAUAUGAAUAUAGUGUAUGUAAUAUAAAAUAUUUAAAUAAUUUAUUACUAUAAAAAAUUUUCUUUGAUGCAUAUGUAAUAGUCGGUUUAAAGUGCAAUUAGUGCGUCCAAAAUUCCUUGAUAUGUGGCAAGCUCUCAUUAGUUGUUGCCUUGAAUUUUUGAGAAGCUCUUCUUCACAAUUCCCAAAAAGAGGAGAAAAUUUUUUUUACACCUGAUAUAUAUAUUAAUAUUUCAUACACGGUGAAGCAUAUUAGAUGAUUGAAAAAAUACCUUAUAAUUAGUAUUGUAAAAUAAAGUAUAAUAUAUAUAAAAUAUUUAAAUAAUUUAUUGUACUGUAAAAUUUUAAUUUUGAUACAUAUUUAAAAUUAGUUUACGGCGCACUGGGUGCGUCCAAAAUUUCUAUUAGACUUGUGGCAGCUUUUUAUUGGCUGUUGCUUAAACAGGAGAAGUGGCUCUUUAGAAAGCUAUUGUUGUAAUGUAAUGGAAGUGUCAAUUUAUAUAUGUUAUAAAUAGAUUAUAUCAUUUUUAUUGCAUAAAACCAAAUAAGAUAUUUUUUAAAUAAUUAUUAUAUUUUUAACUGUACGCAAUUUUAAUUACAUUGUAUUUAUAAUGGCAUCCAAUCUAACGGCAUCUAGAAAGAGCAAAAGUAUUCUUUGUAACAGGUAUAACACAUAAGAUAUAUUUCAAACCAAUCAUAUUAUAUUAUAAGUGGAUAAAGAAGGAUCUAAUCAAAAAAAAAAAGAAAAAAGAAGUUGUUUAUUUCAAGAGUCACAGAAUAUACGGAAAAACUAAUUUUAUUGUGCCAUAUAGAAUGCGUAAAGAGUUAAUCAAGAAUAAAAUGAUAAUUUUAUUGUACAAAAUUUUUUAAAACUUUUAGCAUUAAAAAAAUUACACUUCGGUCCUCAAACUAUGGCUUGAACUUUCUGAAUUAUUGCAAUCAAGCCCCACAAUCUAAUUUUUUGAUUAAAUAUUGAUGAAUUAUUAUGUAAAAGUGAUAUAGCAAUAUCGUAAUUGAUGAUGCAACAAUAAAUAAGAUACUACAUCACUUCUAUCUUAGUAAUUCAUCAAUAUUUAAUAAAAAAAAUAGAUUGUAGGACUUAAUUAUAAUAAUUUGGAAAGCUCGAGAAAUUACAAUAACUUUGGUAUCGUUUAGUUCAGGAAUAAGCAAAAAGUGACUAUUUUAUGGAUAAAUAUAAAUUAAGGUAUAAGAGGGGAUUAGAUCAAUUUUGCAUUUGGAUGAAAAUUGGGUUAUUACUAAGAAUAAAAAAAUAGCGUUUAAUUAGGUAAGAUGGAAUAAGAAUUAAAGUGGGUAGUUAUAAAUAAAAAAUAAUCAUAUUAUCCCUUUCUUUAUAUUAGAAUUUAAAUUUUUAUAUUUUAUAUUUAUAUUUUAGAAUUUAAAAUAUAAAAUUUUACAAUUUAGAAUCUCAAAUUUACAAUUUUAUAAAUUUUAAACUUUAAAUUUAAGAUGAAAUUUAUUAUUAAUAAAUUUAUAAUUUUUUUUAAAAUUCUACUUAAACUGAAAUAUAAUAAAAAUAAUUUAUUAUAAUAUUUAAAUAUAAUUUACUAUAAAAUUUAUUAUAAUAUGUAAAUAUAAAUAAUAUGUAUUAAUAUAGUACAAUUAAUAAUUUUAUAAAAAAAUAAUGUAUUAUAAUAUAUAACAUAUUAUAUUUAUAUAAUUUAGUUUUAAUUCAAUUUAUAAUUUUAAUUAAGUUCGAAAUUAAGCAUUGUAAUAGCACUAUUCCACCAAAAUGAUGGAAUAGUAAAUCUCAAACUAUUCAGGGAUAACCGGGAAUAGCAAGGUUUGACCGGGAUAAAAUAUCCCGCCAAAAAAUCACCCCUUUUGGCGGAAUAGCAGGGAUAACUUUCGUUAUCCCCGCUUAUCCCCCGAAUCAAACAGGGCCUAAGAGUAUGAACUGGACUACAAACUGAGACAACUGGACCUCUAAGGAAAAAAAAAGAGAGAGAAAAAAAGAAAACUACUAGCAAAAGAGAUCCAGAAAAAUUUGAGGUUAAAAGAAAAAUAAUACAAACCAGUAGCCAGGUGGGGAAAACAAAAAAAUUAGAUAUGUUAUGAUUAUUCUAAUAUAUUAAUAUGAAGAUAUUCAUCAUCUCUGAAAAGAAUAAGAUUAAUAUUUUAGGAUGAAUAUCAUUUUCAAAUAAAUCUAACAUUAUCAACUAAAUUAUUUAGUAUAUUUAGUCAAACAUCGUCAUAAUUUUUUCUUUUAUUAAAUUUUUUAAAAUUUUAGAAAGAUAACGUGAACCCAAUACACCCUUAGGGGAUUGAAUUUUAGAUAUCCAGGUGCUUACCACUUUGUCCGUAGAGAAUCACCUAAACAUUACAGAUGAACGGUGCUUUGCUGAAAACGAAUUAAAUUGGAUUAGAAUUGGAAUUGGAGUCGAUCUGAUCGCUCAUUGUGAGUGUUUCCUGGCCUAUCGUCGUCACUCCGAGACCACCUCUCAAGCUGGAUUAGCACCGAGAGUGACAGAUCACCAAGUUCUCCGGGAUGUUGGAGAGGUGGUUCACAGAGAUAAGGCAACGGUAAUCGGAGAGGUCAGCCAUACGAGCGUUGAAGUCAUCCGGCCUAAUAAAGCGACUAAAGCCGCCGACAAGGGCCACCACUGUUUGGGAAGACCAGCACUCUUAGGGGAGGCUGACCAAACGGAUCCAAACCUUGUAAGUCAUGGGUGGCCGUCGUGCGUCGUUGUAGGGAUUCCAAAGAAAGCAGCGUAAACGGAGAUCUCCCAAGCUAAGGAUGUCCUUGCAGAGGAGUUGGUUGCUCAGCACCCAUUCCGGUAGGAAAACAACAAAGUCUCUUUCGCUAUACUGGGCAACAUGAAAGUUGGAUGGGUAGCCCCUGAAACGAUUCGCGAGUCCAUUAGCAACGGUUUCCUAAGGGAAAUGACCCAGUUGGCGGGGGGGAUCACGUUGACAAGGAUAGCAUUGCGGCGACGAUUUUGUCGGGCGAAGAAGUCGUCGGAAAGGGGGGGGACAGAAGAGCUAAGGUAGGCAGAGCAGGCGCGCAUGGCUCGAUAGACUUUCAAUGGCAGGCGAUUCAUAUUGGAUCGUGCUUUGUGGCCCGACUUGAAACACCUAGUGCAGCGGAUGGGAUCUUGAUAGUGGGUGGCCCAGUGUGCUCAGCCCAAGCACCUAUAGCACCUGCCUUUGAAGGAGAAUUUGCCAAAGCUCAAGGGAGGGUAAGGAGGGGACCGCUGUGGGAGAGGUGAGGCUAAGGUUUAGGGGGUGGAGCGGGAGUGAGGAGUGCGUCCCUGUAUGUCUUCUUAAAAAGAGGGGAAGGAAGGCGCUUCUUGGAGUGUUGCCUGGUAGACCGAAGCUUGUCGUCCGAAGUAAAUGACCCCGAGUUUAGAAGGGAAUUGUCUUUUCGAAAGUAAGUAGUUUGAGUUUAUGCAAACCCGGCUGUAUCCGCCCAUAGCACCUUCUUGGCGGAGGAGCUAGCUUCGUAAGCUGGUUUUUAGAGGUUGGUGGAUGCAGUAACUCCAUUGCUCGAAUUCUGUUUGAGGCUCUGAAACCUUAGCUCUAGGUCUAAAGCUAACGAGACUUGCCGAUGUCGACUGCCGCACUGCCGGCACAGACAGAAGGAGACGCUUGACGGGUGGUGGCUUCUCUGACACCAAUGCCUCCUGGAACUCCUCUGAAAUCCGAGAUAAAAGACGGGACGCUCACCCCUCUGGUUGCCUGGUACACCGAGAUCUUUCUGCCUCUUCUCCGCUCCGGCAGGCCUCUUCUGAUGGCGGCACAUCUCUUCCGCCGCGUUAGGCAGAAAGGCGGCGGGAAUUUACGGUCUCUUCUGUUGGAAUCUCCCCGGCUGACAGUGGCGCAGUUGGACGACCGAAAAAUUUUUCAAAUUCAAAUCUCUCCCUUGCUGGACUUCCUACUUCUAUGCUAUCUGACGUGAAGGACGGAAGAAAUACCUCUAUGUCAGGCGGCUUCACCCUUCAUGUUCUCCCCCCGAAGGCCUUCCGCCCUUCUUUUGUCAUCAAGACCCUCUUUCUUGAGUCUGGAAGCUCUCAGGACAACCUUUGGUUUUCGCACCUAGCUGUGGUCGACAAAAAGGGAUUUCGUGGCUUUUUCAACGAAGUAGAGAAUCGCUGGUGCAUUUAUUUCGAAAUCCGCCCAGCUUCCUCGAUCUUCACGAAUACUGAAUCCGGGCUUGAUGCGACUGGGCCUAGGUUCGCACCUCCUUUCCCUGAUCAACGGUGGGCCCUCUCUCACUUUGUCACCGAUCCGGGUUUUUUUGGAUUCAGGCCUGACCUCGCCUCCCCUUAUUUUGGUAGUGGACUGCACCUCUGUGGCAGUCAGGGUAAUAAGCCUUCUAAUAGUUUGGAUUCUACUUCUUUUGGACUGGAAUCAGGAGGUGGUAAGGGGGUGGACUGCACCUCUGUGGCAGUCAUGGUAAUAAGCCUUCUGAUAGUUGGACUCGACUUCUUUUGGACUGGAAUCAGGCGGGCCACCUCCUUUCUCUGAUUAGCGGUGGGCCUUUUCUCACAUUGUCACCUGUCCGGGCUUUUUUGGAUUCGGGCCAGACCCCGCCCCCCUUGUUUCAGCGGUGGACUGCACCUGCAUGGCAGUCCUGGCAAUAGGCCCUCCGUAGUUUGGACUCGGCUUCUUUUGGGCUAGAAUCAGGCGGGCCACCCCUGGUUGUCGUGGCCACUCCUACCCCUGCUUGCGAUCCGACGGAACCGCCUAGGUCGAGCACUAGGCUUCUCAAUCAGACGAAGGACUCAGCCUUGUGUAGGGCGAUGCGCAGGAAAGCACGUCUUCUCGAGGGCGAAAUGAUCUCAGCUGGGAAGUCGGUGCGCGAGUGGACCAGCAAGAAAGUCAAGGCGAAGAGCCUCCUCUGCGACGUGAAGCUCUCCGAUGCCGAAGCUAAGGAUCUUCAGAAGCUCAUGUGCGCUAAUGCCUAGGAGUUGGCUGUCUUUAGCAUUAGCUCUUUGUGAUUGUUAUGUGUGUUGUCUUGUGUCGUCUUGUUAUGUGUGCGUCGUCUUUUUCUGAUGUUUAACAUUUUAAAUUGGAAUGUUCGUGGUCUCAAUGACCCAGCUAAGCGUCGUUGCGUCAAGUCCGUAGUGUCUCCUCUCCUUUGUUCUGUUGUCUGUAUUCAAGAAUCUAAGGUGGAUUCUGUGUCUCAUUCUUUCCUACGCUCUUCCUACGGAUCUAACUUUGAUAGGUGCCACUUUAUUCCGACGGUUAGGGCUUCUGGUGGUAUAAUCUCUUGCUGGAGUUCUAAAUUUUUCUUGUGUAAUGAGGUCUUAGUGCGAGAGCAUUCACUUACUCUCAAUCUAACACGCCUCGCUAGCGGAAAGACCUUCUACCUCACGAACGUGUACGGGCCUCCGAACUGGGAUGGAAAGGAAACUUUUUGCACCGAACUGCUCUCUUUUAAAGGGUUUGCUCUAACAACUGGAUCAUCUGCGGAGAUUUUAACUUCACCAAAAAUCAGUCUGAAAGAAAAGGAAACCCCUGGAGUGCUAAAGCUAUGGCUAUGUUUACUGACCUCAUCAGUAACUUAGCGGUUAUUGAUUUUCCUAUGUCUAACCAAAACUUCACUUGGUCGAAUAUGCAACAUAACCCACACUGGCCAAACUCGACAGAUUUCUUGUAUCAACAGAAUGGGACCAUACUUUUCCUCAUUGCAAGGUCAAAGCCCUUCCCCAAACCACCUCCGACCAUACCCUGAUCAUCCUGACUACGGGGCACCACCCCACGUCGAGGAGAUUUCGGUUUGAGUCGGUCUGGCUAACAAAGGAGGAUUUUCUCACAAAAGUACCGCUUUGGUGGAAUGAAGUCACCCCUAAGAUAUCGACCAUCCUCACUAUAUCUGCUAAGUCAGGCAUUGCAGAGUUAGGAUGAAGGAAUGGUGUAAGAUGAAUUUUCACAGCAUAUCUAACUCUAAGAGGCUACUGCAGGAGGAACUCCAAAAGAUCGACCAAUUAGAGGAACAUCACAACCUAUCCCAGAAAAUCUUGGAUAAACGGGCGACCUCAAAUCACAACUACACUUUAUCCUAGAGGAGGAAGAAAUUCUCUAAAAAAUCAGGGCCAAACAGCGUUGGCUCAAAGAAGGUAACGGAAACACUAAAUUUUUUCACGCGGUGGCCGAUGGUCGAAAACAUAAUAACAGGAUUGAAGUCAUUGAAGACGACCCCGGGCGGGAAAUUUCUAAUGAAGAACACAAGAGAUCAUACUUCUUUCACUCUUUUAAACGACUGUUUGGCCAGGAAGCGGAGAGUCUACCGUCUCUUGGAGAUUGGAGUAGUCUCUACCACUCUAACAGAUUACUAAACCCUGAAAUCCUAACCACUCCGUUUACAAUUGAGGAAGUUCGGGCUGCCACCAUCCAACUUGGCAGCGAGAAGGCCCCUGGGCCAGACGGGUUUUCCUUAAUUUUCUUCCAAACCUUUUGGGAGACGGUCAAGGAGGAUAUUUUCAAUGUUUUCACCGAUCUCUAUGACGGCAAAUUAUACACUGGCCCGACUGACUACUCUUUCGUGUGCCUCAUACCUAAAAAAGAAGUAGCACGCAAGGCCAAAGACUUCUGACCGAUCAGUCUCAUCAAUGAAAUUCAAAAAAUCAUCUCAAAAAUCCUUACUAACAGACUUGCGCCUAUACUUCUGUCCAUUAUCACUUCAAUGCAAUCGGCCUUCUCAAAGACUGGCAACUAGUAGACUCUUUCUUCACCUCUUGCGAACUUGUAAACUGGUGCUCAAAAUCUAGUAAUGAAUGUGUAAGUAUCAAGGUUGACUUCGAAAAAGCAUUCGACAAUGUCAAAUGGGUCUUUCUGCAAAGUAUACUUAGAUGGCUGGGUUUCAACGACAAAUGGUGGACUUUGAUUGAGUAAUGUAUCGUCAACGCCAAAAUAGCUAUUUUAGUCAAUAACACCCCGACAGCAUGGUUGAAAGCAAAGAAGGCCCUCAGACAGGGAGACCCUCUCUCCCCCUACCUCUUUUUAUUGGUGACUGACUGUCUAGCAAGAGUAGCUGAGACGGCUAGAGAUAACAGCCUGCUACACAAAAUUGGCCUAUCAGAAGAUUGUCAGACGGUGAUUAUCCAAUACGCCGACGACACUAUUCUUUUCUGCGAGCCAAGAAAAAAUUAUAUGCGGAACCUCCAGUUUAUUUGGAAAACAUUUGAAUGGGCCUCGGGCCUCAGGAUUAACUUGGACAAAUCGAAAUUAUUUUACUUUGGGCCCAAUCCUUGCAAAGCCGAUAGACUGGCCAGCAUUUUACGCUGUAAAGUAGGUUCUCUACCAUUCCGCUAAUUGGGAUUACCACUUAACACCAAACAACUUCGUAGGGAAGAUUGGGCACUGGUUAUCGAUCGCAUAGAUAGGAGAAUCGAAGGAUGAAAAGCUAAACUUCUCUCCCAGGGGGGGAGACUCACCCUUGUCAACUCGGUUCUAACCAAUUUGUCGCUAUUCUAUAUUUCCAUCUUCAAAGCGCCUCAAUUGGUACUACACCGGAUGAAGCCCUGAGAAGAGCCUUCUUCUGAAAAAGGUGUUCCAAAAUUUUCGAGGGAGCAUGCCUCAUUAGCUAGAAUACUGUCUGCAAAAGCAAGGCAGAAGGAUAGCUGGGGAUCAAAGAUCUGGACUCUAUGAACACGGCACUCUUAACCAAAUGGUGGUGGCGUUUCUUCAACGAGCCACACCGGCCUUGGUGCAAACUGAUUAGAUCUCUUUAUUACAUCAGACGAAGGCCGUUGCACAAGGGCAGUGCCUUCGCACCUUACUCGCAGUGGUGGAAAAGUGUGGUACGAUGCCGCGAAGUGUUUAAAUGCGGUGUAUCUUACGUGCUAGGUAACGAAAACAACAUCAGGAUGUGGUCCGACAUUUGGGUUGGAGAAACCCCUCUAAGCACCAUGUUUCCAGACAUUUUCGUCAAUAUUACGAACAAGGAGACCAGAGUAUCUCAAUGCUGGAACUCAAACAGAUGGAGAUGGCACUACAUCUGCAGGGGCUUCGCAGUGUCCCAUUCCACCGAAAAUCGUAGACAAUUGAUAUCAUUUAAAGUUCUGAUUAUUCAUUGUAUCCCAAACACCAGCCUGGACUUGCCGAAAUGGAGGUGGACCUCCAACUAGCUUUUUACUGUCAAAUCCCUCUACCAGUUUCUAGCGAGACUUGAUAAACCAGCAUAUUUAGAGAUUAAAAAUUUCAGUCAAAAUCAAAAUCUUCAUCUAGUUGCUGCUUCGAAAGAGAUUACUCACUGCCGACAGAUUGCUCAAUCGACGGAUGUUUGUAGAGCAAAACUGUGGAUUCUGUGUUGUACUCACGGAAAGCUGCGACCACCUCUUCUGUUACUGUGUCUUCGCACGAUACCUUCUCCUUCUUGCGGCGGGUCUAGAUGCACCCGACGAGGACUCGGGUGACGUAAGAGACCUUUCGACAAAUAUUUCUAACAUCCCUGACAGCGCGAAGAGAUCAAACGGUCUUACCCUUUUGGUAGCAAUUUGGUGGGCCGUCUGGAUGGAAAAAAACAACCUUACUUUCCGCUCGAAGUCUCCUAACGCUAUCCGGGCUCUCGAACGUGCCAAACUCUUGAUAAAGAAUUGGAUCGAGCUCCUCUGAAUCGUCAUCAAUUCUUCUUCCCUACUCUUCAGUCUUUUCUCUUUCACUUUUGCCUUUUUCUUUUUUCCUACUUUCUCUCUUUGUUUAUUUUCUUACUACACUUUUUUGCUCUUUUUUCGGAAGCCUUAGCUGCUUCCACCCUGUUCGCCUAGUUCAUUUUGCUUAAUGAAUGAAUAUAGCUUGCUAUCUUUUUCUCAAAAAAGAAUUAGAAUUCGAGUCGGAGUUGAGAUUGACAGUAAAAUUGGAAUUAGAUUAACAUGUAAAAGAUAUAUCUUAAGAUUAGAUUGGCCAUCAAUAACAGAUAUUUGUUAGAGAUCUACUCUCUUUCCAACUUCAUACGUUUAUAAAUGCAGAGGAUCUUACGUAAAUUAGUUAUUACUUCACAAUUCCUCACCUCGUACAUCAAAACCCUGGGCGUUGCAAUCCUCCUUCUAUUAAGAGUUUGAAUUGGCUGCUCGAACUCGCAAAAGGCAAUACAAAAGGUGACCAGGGGAGGCCACACGCUUUCGGAGGACAUCAUUGAGUACGGCGUCCUCCCUCUGCUUCCCGCCAAAACUAGUUGCAAUGCGUGUCGAAGCGCUGGCGCGCCUUAAUCUCCACUGACUCCCACUUCAUGCGCCUGCAAGACGCCUACGCCCGCUCCUCCCCCUCCCUCCUCUUCGGCGAAACGCCUUGCCAAGUCUUCCUCUCCCGCCGAGAAGAAAGGAACCCACCCUGUUCCAUCGGCUUCCUGAGAAUCUUCAAGCAGCCCUAGUUCAACUGCCCAGUCGACGACUGGCUCCCCCUCGCGGCCUGCCGCGGAAUCCUCUGCAUUGCUAUAACCUCGAGGAGCGGCAUUAUAUCUGAGCUCUACUUGGGUAAUCCGGUGUGGAUGGAUUGGCGUCCUCUCCCAACACCCCCAAGCUGGACGCCCCAAUUUUCUUGUUGGAGGAUGCAAUUAGCUGUCUAUGACACGCAAUGUGGCGCUCUCCGCAAGAUUGUCGUGUUGUUUUUAAUGCAGAGCGGUACCGCUGGCCAAGCAGACGCUUCUUUCUUCGUCUUCUCUUCCGCCAAGGGCUCAUGGGAAACAUCUCGGUAGCAAGUUUCGCUGAAGUUGUUGUACGCUCUGGAAGAUGCGUAUGAAUUACUUUCUAGUGUCUAUGUGGCGGAAACUUUCUUUUGGCAUGUCAGAAGUGAGAUGUUAUGGUUCGAUCCGAGAGAAGAGCGCGGCGGCGCCGUACCUUCGCCAUUCACGGCCGCCGCGUAUUAUCAGAAUAUCAGUGAAUGGGAAGGGAAGUUGAGCUUCGCGAGGUUGGAUGAUAGGGAGAUCCACAUGUGAUCCUGAAACCAAUCCUCUUGGUCCUACAGGAUUUGCUUACAAUUGAGACGGUCGCGAAAGCCAAUCCAGACUUCUUCGCUUUCAUGGGCCUCAGGAUGAAUCUAAGAAACCAAAGUACCAAAUCGUUGGAGACCGUUCUUAACAGGACCCGCGCGUCUAUUAUUGCCUUUGGAGUUGGUUUCAUCGUGCCCAAAUUUAAUUCUCACGGGAUCUGCUACGACACAGCAACCGGAGAGGCAUGGAAUUUGAAGCGAGCAAUUUCAAGUGAUGACGGUACGAGACAGGUUGGUUACACAAAUAGCCUUCUUAAACUGACAACUCCUUCAUUACUGUAGUAGUCAGCAGCUUCUUGAGCUCUACAUUAUUUUAUAAUUUAUAGAACCUGUGCCUGUUCUGCAACGCGAGCAACCGCUCCGCAAUAUAGUUCUUUUGCUCUCUGAACUUCGAGGAAACAAAUCACCAUUGUAUGUUUAUUUUGCUUUUGUAUAACAAUUCAAGCAAAUAUAUAGCUUUUGGAUUCAUUAUAAAGCUAGUCUGAGGAAGAUGAAUAAAAAAUUAAUAAUUUUAAUAACUAUGUACUUUAUGAAAUUUAGAAAAUUGAUAAAAAAAAUUCUUAGUAUCAGAAAUUUGAUCAAAUAUAAUUCACCCUCUGGAAUUUAAGAAAUUUUAAUUUAUCAUCCUAACAAUUCAUUUGUUACAUUUUCUUUCUUUUUUUCUUUCUUUCUUUCUUUUUUUUACUUUUUCUAUGUAAAGGCUGUAGGCUUAUUCCAUUAUUCGUUGCAAUUGCACACUUCGAAUUUAAACUACCCGCUGUGCGGCCUCACGCGGGACCCUGCCGUUUUGCACAUAACCCCUUAUUAAUGCUUUGUUUGAUUCGGGGUUAAGUAAGAACUAGUUAUUUCAGGGAUAUGUUUAAGUUCAGGAUUAAUGUGGAGUUAGAGUAAUUUUGUAUUUGGUUGAGAAUUGGGUUUAAUCCAGAUAUAAGAAAAUUAGUGUUUGAUUAGAGUAGGUGGAAUAAGAAGGAUGGUGGGUUGUUAUAAAUAGAAAAUAAUGAUAUUGCCUCAAUUUUCAUAUUUGAAUUUAAAUUUUUUAUUUUAUAUUUAAAAUGUUAAAUUUAAAUAAAUAACUUUUAAAAUUAAAAAAUUCAAAAUUAAAAUUUAUUUUUAAAUCUCAAAUUUAAAAAUUUAAAGUUGUAAAAUUUAAAUCAAAUCUAACAAAUAUAAAAUUUUAAAAAAUAAAAAUAACAAUUUAAAAUUUAAUUUAAAAUUAAAAUUUUAAAAAAUAAAUAUAUAAAUAUAUAUUUUAAGAUUACAAAUUAUAAAUUUUUAAAUUUUCAAUUAUAAAAUAUUAAAUUUAAAAUUUAAAUAAUUAAAAAUAACAAUUUUAAAAUUUUAAAUUUUAAAAUUUAUUUUAAAAUUUAAAAAUAUAAAUAUUAAUUUUAAGAUUACAAAUUAAAUAUUUUAAAAUUUUCAAGUAUAAAAUGUCAAUUUUAAAUUUUAAAUUUUAAAUUUUAAAAAUAUUAAUAUUAAUUUUAAGAUUACAAAUUAUAAAUUUUAAAAUUUAUAAUUUAAAAUUAAAAUUUUUUAAAUUAUAUUUUAAAUUAAAUUGGGAUGAGAUUAACUUUAAUCACAUCUCUAUUUUUGGGAGGGGUGGGGUUAACUAACCCCAACCCCGCCCCUCUAAAAUCAUGUUUAGCUAUAGUUUGAGGACAAAUUACCGACGAAAAGAUCAACAGAAAUCUCAAUCUAUCAAAAAUAAAUGCGAAAAUUAAAAUAGCAUACCAAAAUUUACAUAGAAAAACUCCAACAAAAAAAAAAAUUUACGGAACAAACACGCGAUAACAAUUCACUAAGAAAUAAAAGAUUAUAAGGUGAUUACUUACUACACGGAUUCAAACUUCUCUUUUAUCUUUUUUGGAUUUCGCGCUCUUCAACGGCUAGUCCACGCCCACAUACGAAUUCACGAACGCCACUCGAAUUCAGAAGCACCAAUGAUUUGAAUCCACGAAUUGUCUUGGUCACGUCGAAUUCAUGACGCCACUCCGUCCGGAACAAAACAAAUAACAUUGGUGGUGAUUCCUUACUUAGAGAAUCAUUAAAAAACCGUUAAAAAUGUCUCUAAGCAAUGACCAUAUCAAUUCUCCAUAACAAAAGAGAAAUUAGAUUUUCAAAAAGUGAUCCGAUAAAAACUUGCUUUUGGGGAUGAGAGAGAAAGCACCAAACAAGUUUCUAAGAUUUUCUAAAAAAUAUUUUAUACUUAACCACAUUUUAAAGACAACCUCACAUCUUAUUUAUUGAUUUGAAAACAAUUAGAACCAGAUUAGAAUUGAAAAUUUGAUUUUAAAAAGUUUUGGAAGUAAUUAGACUCAGAUUAAAAUUGAAAAACUGAUUUUAAAAUGUGCCAUCUUAUUUAUAUAUUUGGAAACAAUUACAAUCAGAGUAGGAUUGGAAAACUUCAGAUUUAAAUAUUUAUCAAUUUAUAUCUAUUCUAAUAUCUUCCAAAUAUGUAUAUGAUUAUAAAUCAUCACCGAUAUUAUCUAAACUUAUCGAGCAUCGUAAAUUCAUACUUUGAAUUUUCAAAUCUUCAAUUUUCAUUUUUUUUUUUGAAUUUUGAAGACUCCGACUCACUUCACGAAAUAUACUAAUAUAAAAUUCGUAACAUGUCAAAAUUUAAUUUAUUAUAAUUUAUAUUUUAAAUUUUUAAAAUUAUUAUAAUUAAGUCCUGUAAUUCAAUUUAGUUGAUUAAAUAUUAACAUAUUAUUAAUAUAUAAGUGAUAUAUCAGUACUAUACAUUAUUUUUAAGUUAACAAUAUAUUAAUAAUUAAUCAACUAAAUUAGAUAGUAAAAUUUAAUAAUAAUAAUUUUAAAAUUUUAAGUCAGAAAUUAAAACAUAUUAAAAUUUGAAAACGAAAGUGUCAAUUUUGAAGACCACGCAUGUAAUUUAUCAUUUUUUAAAAAAAUUUAGCAUAACGUACGGACAUUUGUCAAGAAUCCUAUGUAAGUUAAAGUACAGGGCGGUGAUAUAAAAGCUAAACCGCAGUGACCGACACGUGUCAGUAUCAGGGACAGUCACCACACGUGGCAUUUCUUAAGAUGCUAUGCUCAAUCUAGGACGGACACGUGUCAGUUCACGGUAUUCCAUGUUCAAUUAAUUUUUUAAAAAAAAAAGAAUCGGUGGUUUCCUAAAAUUUUAAAAUUCACGUACGUACGUACGAAAUAUAUUAAUUUUUUAAAACGCAUUUACGAGUAUCUUAAAAUAAAAUAUUAUUUAUGGAAUGAGUCAAUAAUUAUUUUUAGAUCUCUGUUCUAAUAAUUUAUUAAAAUCACAACAAUAAAAUAGUAAUAUCUGUAGAGAAUCGAAGCUGGAUUUGAGAUGUCGCGUUAUAAUUUAUGUAAAUUUCAAAAUAAAUUAACUGGUUCUGAAUAUAAGAUGAGAAAACUAUAAUCAAAUUAAAUAAUGAUAAAUUCAAAUAAAAAUAAUGAUAUGGUAAAUAAUAAAGUGUUCAUUUUUAUGCAAUCUAAAAAAAAAAGACAUUUUUGCAUAAAAAAUCUACUUAUUUUAGACUUUUGCAAAAUCGGAUCACCUUUUUUGUUUUUACAGAUACGGUCCGUUUUUUCAGCAAACUGACCAAAAUACCCUUAUUACUUUUUCUCUUUCCUCUUUCUCUCUCCUCUUCGUUUCUGUCGUUCUUUUUUUUUUCUCGCCGAAAAAAAAGAGGCGGAUCGUCGCCUUCUUUUUCACCGUCGCCUCCCUCCUCACCCUCCUCUCCACCGCUCGCGACCCCCUCCUCCUCUCCCCCGCCGCCGCGGACCCCCAGCCCAAUCCCGUCGCCGCGGCAGCAGCGGCCGCGGCGAACGGGGUCGGGCUGGAUGCGGAGAAAAAGACGACGGCGAAGAAGAAGAAGGGGAGGCCGAGCGGCAGGGCGCAGGAGGGGGAGGCGGAAGCACAGUCGGCACCGGCCCCGCGGACCCCCAGCCCGAUCCCGUCGCCGUAGCGGCAACGGCAGCGGCCGCGGCGAACGGGGUCGGGCUGGAUGCGGAGGCAGAGGCGGAGAAGAAGACAACGGCGAAGAAGAAGAAGGGGAGGCCGAGCAGUAGGGCGCAGGAGGGAGAGGCGGAGGCGCAGCCGGCGCCGGCGAGGAGUGGGGAACAUUACACCAUUACACCAUUACACCAUUAUACCAUUUUGCACCAUUACACCAUUACACCAUUUGCACCAUUACACCAUUACACCAUUUGCACCAUUAUAAUUUUGCACCAUUACACCAUUACACCAUUUGCACCAUUACACCAUUACAAUUUUGCACCAUUACACCAUUAUACUAUUUGCACCAUUACACCGUUACACCACCAUUACACCAUAUGCACCAUUACACCAUUCGCUGGUCGGCGGCUUCUGCGCGGCGGCGGGAGGAGGGACGGCGCCGACGGAGAAGAACACGCGCGGCGUCGGCACCGGCGCCGGCUGCGCCUCCGCCUCCCCCUCUCGCACCCUGCCGCUCGGCCUCCCCUUCUUCUUCUUCUUCGCCGUGGUCUUCUUCUCCGCCUCGGCCUCCGCAUCCAGUUUAGGCCUUCUUCUUCGCCGUCGUCUUUUUCUCCGCCUCGCCGUCGUCGGGCUGCAUGUACAAGACGGCCAACUCGGUGUACCGGCCGGACUCGCCGGAGUCGCGCUUCACCAACUCGUCGAACGAGGGGCGCGAUCGGGACAUGAUCAGCCUGUCGACGGCGCCGUCCGACGACGAGUAGUACGACGGCGAGUCGUCGGAGAGCGUGAUACGCGGCAUCAAGUCGUCGGCGCACGUCGACCGCCUCUUCUUUGAGCCCCCUGGUGCCGACACGGGCUCCAUACUCGGCGACGCGGCGCCGAAGAAGGCGGAAGACGACGACGACGACAGCGCCAAUAGCGAUGGCGACGGCGGGGCGAUGCCGUUCAAAGAGAGCGUGGUGGUGGCCAUGGAGUCGCGCGACCCCCUCCCCUCCCCCUCGCUCUCCUCCACCUUCGCCGUCGCCGCCAUGGCCAUGGGCUCGGCGACGGCGACGGAGACGACGGUGGGGGUAGGCUCGGCGGCGGCGACGGGGGAGAGGAGGAGGGGGUCACGGGCAGUGAAGAGGAGGGUGAGGAGGGAGGCGACGGUGAAGAAGGAGGGUGAGGAGGGAGGCGUCGGUGAAAAAGAAGGCGACGGUCCGGCCCGCCUCUUUUUUUUUCGACGAGAAAAAAAAAAAGAACGAUAGAAACGAAGAGGAGAGAGAAAAAGAAAAGAGAAAAAGUAAUAAGGGUAUUUUGGUCAAUUUGCUGAAAAAGCGGACCGAAUCUGCAAAAACGAAAAAUGUGAUCCGAUUUUGCAAAAGCCCAAAAUAAGUGAAAUUUUUACGCAAAAGGGCCAAAAAAAAAAAAAAAACUACUAAUUUCCAAUUUCGACAAAAAAAAAUAAAUAAUAAUAAUAGUAAUAAUAAUAAUAAUAUCGGGAAAAAAAAUCUCGCCGGGAAAAGCGGGGCGCGUCCUUACAGUUAGCUCCUCCAAUUCCGGUCCCGCCUACUAAUCACCUCGCGCCACGUGUACGGCUACCAUUCCUCCGUGCCACCGCCGAGCGCGUUGGUCGGCGACAGCUAUCCUCCUCUUUGGGGCCCACGCGCUUCGACCGUUACGUACGGCCGUAGGGCCUAGGAUUCCCCCCAAACCCUAUAUGGCUAUAUAUACACACACACACACCCCACAACACACAAAGCAUUAUUAUUAUCCACAUCUCAAAUACAUAAAACUCUCUCUCUCUCUCUCUCUCUCUAUAUAUAUAUACAAACCCCUUAAUCUCUCUCUCUCAAUUGCAAUUACAAUCCAAAUCCAAUGGAAACAAUCUCAAUUUUCACCCCCAAUUUCUCAAUCCACCCUCCCCCGCCGCCGCGUCCGGCCGGUCUCGGGCCAGCCAGACUGCAGUAUCGCUCGUUCGGACCGUCUUUCAGGCCGCCGGCAGGCCCCGGACUCCCCGAACGGAGGAGACGUCUGGCUGCAGCUCAUUUCGCCUUCAGAAGAGAGCCCCAUGGAUCGGACUUCGGCGGCGGUGGGUUCGUGGACGAGAACAUGAUCGUGCUGCGGAAGAGGAUCAACGACAUGGAGAUGGCGGAGCGGAACUACGAGCCCCCCGCGGAGUGGACCGAGUGGGAGAAAGGGUACUACACGAGCUACGGCGCGCACGUGUGCGAGUUCGCGGGCCUGCUGCAGGCCCUCUUGUUGAGCACCAGGCCUGGUUUGGGGCUGGGGAUGCUGGGGCUCGUCGUGCUGAGUGUGCCGAUCGCGGCGGUCACGGCAGUCUGCCAUUUGAUCGAGAUAUCGCAGCUGAUCCUUUCCAAAGUGCAGUAAAUUGAUCGAAAAUCUCAUACGUAGAUUAUAUAUGCGUCAAUUUGUUCAUUUGUUCUUUUUUUCUUUUUUUUUUUUGGGGUUGGUAGAAUCAAGUUGUGAGUGUUGUACAAAAGAAUGUGUAAUUAGGCAUAAGUAAUAAAUUAAAAGCUUUUCGAGUUUAUUAAGUUCUCUAAUUCCCACUUAAGUAAGACUAAAAGCAAGUUGAAGUUACAAUAAUUAAAGCUCUAUAAUUGAACUGCAGAUAAUGUAUCAUCUUUAACAAUACUCCACUGGUUCCUAAUUAAAGCUUUAUUUUGAAAUUGCAGAAAAAUUGUGUUGCAUACAGCGAAAAAAUGUAAUAAAAAAUUACCGUAUCGGCUUCCGUAUGUAAUAUCAUAUUCCGCAUAUUGUUAAGACUCACUUGUAAUACGUUUUCUACACUCUCAUCGAAAAAUACAAGGGUAUAUUUUUACUUUUUUUUGCUCUAAUUCUAUUUUACCUAUCAGCGUUAAAUGAACCUUAAUACCAAACUAUGGCUAUAAUUUUAAAUUAAUUUUACUUUUGAAGUUAUAUUUUUCUAAGUUAGAUACAUUCGCAAAUCAGAAUCAGAUAUAACAAUACACAUAUUUUUCUUACCUAAAAGCUAUGAAUGAUAGUUAUAUUUUGGGAAAUAUGCGGCUUUACUCUCUACAACAAACUUAACAGGAACAAAUAUUUACAGAAAACAUAAUUGUUAUUGAAUAUUCAAGAAAAAAAAUAAUGCUCAAUUCACAUCCGUAUCGAAAUCCGAAGAAACACAGCAUAUUUGAAUCCAAAUUCAAAGGGUUUUUCUACAGAAAAAUCUGAAUCCGAAUCUGAAUUGAAAUACAAGCCAGAUUAUAAAAUCACAACUCAUUCUUGGGUAUUUUGGAUCCAAAUUCCCACAUGAGCACUAGGCCCAUGUAGGCAUUAGGGAUGAACACCAUCAUGCAUCCGAAACCGAAAAUUCAAAUUCAAAUUUUGAAUUUAUACAUUGGAAAUCACAACAUCCUAAUCAUAGAAUACUUCAAUCUAAUCAAAAAAUAAAAAUAUAUAUAAAAAAAAAGAGAAUCAUUAUUUCAAAGUGCAAAGUGGAUCAAUGAGACUCAACUUAAGCUACUAAACAUGUAACAGGAAAAAUGGCUCCAUUUGUUCUAAUCUAGUGUCCACAUCCAACCCAUAUGUCAGCUUCAACAAAAGCAAAUCUAUUACGCUGGAUCAGUCGAUUGCGUCGAAUUACAUAUUGCCGCCACUAAAAGCACCAUGAGACAGUUAAGUAGAAAAUGCUGUUUGAGAGAUAAUACCAAGAAACUUUGUUUCGAGAACCUGACUGUUCUAUGCUGUACAAAUAGAAUACGUGUUCAAUAAAACACAUUAAAUACAGAAUCAGAAUCUCUUAAAUCUUUCUUUUGCGCGUCACAGACCACGACCGAUAACACCAAUCGAAUCUCAUCCAAAGGCGGAAGGAAACUGAGCAUUCCUUCAUUGCGUGCAGCAUCGUGCGAAAGUCAUCAGCCAAUCGGUUGAUCCGGACCAAGUUGCAACAAAAUUCUCUAUAGGUAGGUUGAUCGAGCACUUGCGAUAAUAUAGCCGAUUAGUCACUAUUUGGACUUCGGCAAUUUGAAAAUGCUUUCCUUGUAGUAUUUGAGCUCCCUGAUGCUUUCUUUGAUGUCAUCCAUAGCUCUAUGCCUUUUCUCCUUUGGAGGAGCCUUCUUCUUUUCUGUUAAUAGAGAGGCAUAAUACAGUAAACAGGAUCUGUUUUAGUUGAAUGUUGCGAGAAAAAUUUACAGCAAAAUAAUCGUCAAAUAAACAAAGCGAUGGAUUAAUGCUGAAAUGUUAGUUUCCAUUUCAAAGUUAAGAAAUUCAAAUUCUACUGCUGAUGUAUCGUAUUAUUCUUUGGUAUACAUAAUUGGCCUCAACCGAUUUCAUUCAAAUUGCAGCCCCCAAAAUUGAAGAGCAUAGAUAAAGAAACUACCGCAACCAUAGAGUUUCGAAUUUUUGAUGUGAUAGUUAAUUAGAUUCACAAAUUUAAGUACUAAUCAAAUGAUGGUAGAAAACAUGGAAUGCCAACAACCCUCGACACAACUGAAGUUUGAAGUAAGUUAUUACCCCUUCUAACAUUCAGGGAUCGAAAAAUCAGCCCUUGGUUAUUAGCCACUUAUUGCUAUACCCCUGUUUUCAGCAAGAACAGCAAAAGCACAUGGGGUUUCCUGUAUUUUAUGCUAAUCAAUGUUUUCAUCUUCUUUAGGCAAGAAUUUGGUCCAAAACUCAUGCCUAACUAGUGGUGGGUAAAGUGUAAGUUGAUGUAUCAUGUUUCUGCAUUAAUAUUAAGCAAGGAUUAAAUGGAUCAAAAGGCAAUAACCCAGGAACAAGUAAUGCACAUUACAUCAUUUAUCUGAAGACCCUUUCGGAACAGAAUAAGGCCAAUUCCAGAUUGCUUUAGCACUUGGUUAGGAACAAGAGAGAGAGAACAACAACUUCAUAAUAUGCACAGAAAUAUGCUUGAAGAACAUUAUAAAGAAAAUAUAAUACCUCUGGGAAACCAACGGAUACAUAAAGCCAUGACACUACUGACAUCGACGAGUACAUGAGGGAAGAUUGCGGCGAGAUCUGGCAUGUAUUUCUGCCAGACGAAACACAAGAACCAAAUCUUAGCGAAUAAAAGAAGACAAUGAGACAUCAGGGGCCGAUGGGACGUACAACUUUGCAGUUAGGGACAUUCUCCAACAUUAUUCUUAAAGAGAGGAAAACGAUUACUUCCGAAUAAAGAUAAUCAAGCAUCUACUAAAAGGAGCAGCAUUGCAACAUUUAUUUGCCACACCAUAAAUUUCAGCAGAAAAAAGCUAAGUGCAUGUUUGGCAUUAUUUAUGUUCUUAUUUUUGUUUCCUCAAGUGGACCUAAUAAUGAACAUAAUUUUUGCUAUCAUGAAACUCUUUCAUCUUCCUUUUGUGCGAGCGUUUUCCUUUUUCGUUAUUAUUUGGAAAAGGUGGAUUUGCAAAUUAGCUAACAAUCACAAGAACAGACGAAGUCAUCUCUAGGCAUUGUUAAUCGCAUGGAGCAUGGGAAAAACAAAAGAAAAAAAUUAUUAAUGCCAAAUGAGGUCUACAUAAUCUUACACCGUCCAACCACAUUAAUUUUGUAUUUGAAGAUAUGGAUAUAUAUUGACUGGAAAUAAUCUUUUGACAGUACUUAACUACAGCAACUCGGUCAUAAUAUGAGUAAAUUAUUAUAUAUAUAGCAUUUGAACAUCUAGGAUUAAUUUACCAAUGCAUCGUAGUUUUUGCAUCUAUACAUACAUCAAUUGGACAUCAAACGAAAGCUACCAAGAAAGAAAACAUGUUAGGAAAUAGUAUACGAUGAUAGUAACUGAAAAAUGUAAGCAAUUUAUCUUGAUUUAGGAAGUCAGAAAUAUGUAUAAAAAUAAUAGUAAAUCAGAAAUGCAGCAAACCAAUUUACAGAGCAAUCCCAUUAAAUUGUCAAUUUUGAGAGAACUUGACCUUAAAGCAACAACACUCAAAAAAAAAAAAGGGGUUAAGAAACAAAAAGAAACUGUUUGCAAACCUUUAAGAAUAAGAAGUCAACAUAAAUAGAAUUCCCAGCCAAUAGAGGAGUAUCUGAGCCUAUAUGCUUUUUCACAAACUCUAUAACCUGAAAAGAAUUGGUACCAAUAUAUUAUUAUAUCAAAUUUGUCAGAUAGUUAUAAACAGGAAAGUUGAGAGCUGAAAAGAAAUGGCACCUUUACCUCUUGCAUUAUCACUAGUCUAUAUGAAGAGCCAUGACAAUAAUGGAAGCUACGCAUUACUAGAUUGGAACUUAAUAUCAACUCUAUUCUACAAUAUUAAGCAAAAAAUUCCAAAUCGCAACUGCUUUCAGUUAUCAUCAAAUCUAUUAUACAUAACAAAGGAGAAAGACCAAACGUACUUGUUUUUCUGCAUCACGCUCGGAAAUUGUACUUUGCAGAACUCUCUUCGUCAGCCCUAAAUUUUAUUGAAGUGAAAAAUCCAUUUUAUUCUCAGUGCAUGCUGUGAAGAUAAAAAUCAAUAAUAAUCUUUCCAAAAGAGUGUCUACCAACAUACCACUAGCUGCAUGGUGCUCCCGACACCACUCUCCCAUUUUAUCCAAACAUUCCUUGGUCUGACUAAUAACAAAAUCUGGGCCCUGAAUGGAAAAUAUAAAUUGUCAUAAACUAAUGCACAACUGAAUACAAGAGAUUUAUCAUACCAAUAAUUUAUGUGAAUUUACAAUGUUGCUAUCUUGUGAUGUAAGAAUAUGUUGCAUAACAGGAACUUUCAAAAACCAGGAUUCCUACUGAUAAAAGAAAGCAAACUAGAAAAAUCAUAAACAAAAUCCACAUUCAAUAUUCACAGAGGCUAUCACAUAUUAAUAUUGUUAAGUAAGAUCAAAAUAGUGCUAUGUUUUAGGAGAUUGAAUAAUUGCUUGAAAUAACUAACUUCUCAUAACUUUCCAAACCGACCAAAGAUAGUCUAUUUUAUGCACUAGUGCAAAAGAAGAUGAUUGUUACGUAGGUCCUAACUACAGAAGAUGAUUGUUACAUAGGUUCUAACUACAGGAGAUGAUUGUUACAUAGGUCCUAACUACAGAAGAUGAUUGUUACAUAGGUCCUAACUACAGAAGAUAAUUGUCACAUAAGUUCUAACUACUAGCCCUUUUAUGCACCCUAUUCACAUAGGACAUUAUGUUUAGGAUGAGUAAAGGAUGCCAUUUACGCUGGUUACGGAACACAAAUUUUGUGACAGGUAACAACAAAACAGAGACUAACCUCACCAAAAAAAAUAUAUUUUUUGAAUCAUAAGAUUAUUGGUGAGACAGGCAAAGAGAAAAAUAACUCAAGAAUCUGCAAAGCUGAGCUGCUCUAUAGGAGAACUUAACCAAUUAAAUGCACGUGAAGAGAAGUUCAUUUGGCCUUUCAUUUGAUUGUGAAAUUAAACAAUAGAAAACCAAGAAAAAGAAUCAAUGUUCUAAGAAGAUGUUGCAAUAUGCAGGGUAGCAAGACAUUGUAUAAUAUACUUAGGCAGGUGCAUAGGCAUAUUCAUUUAAAUUAGAUUGAAAAUAUAGGUAACUAAAAGUACUAUUUGCUAUAGUUCAAUUUAAAGAAUAAAGUAAGCCUUAAAAAUUACACACGAUUAAUUUUAUGAGUAACAAUAAGUAACAACGAAGCAAAAAAGAUUUUAUUUGAGAAACAUUUAUCACGCAAACUAAAGUAUGUUAAUUAACCAAUAAAUAGCCAAGGACAUUUAAUAUAAAAUUAAACUGCCCAUUAAUGAUCACAGUGGUGUUGUAUAAGACUCAUAUAGUGGUUGUUUUUUUACUGUUAUUGCCAGUAGGGAGUAAAUCAAACUUCUAUCAACAAUUCUAAGUACACAAGACAAAGCAAAAGAAAAGCCAAAGUAGUGCAACAACAUUGUAUACAAGGACGAGCAAAUGAAAUGAGCUUGAAGGUAUAAAAAGUAAAAGCCACCUCAAUUGACUUGGUAAGUUUACCAUCUGUUAUGAUACAAGCAAUCUCCAGUAUCCGAUCAGUUGUAACAUCCAAACCUGCAGGUUGCACAUUACAGUUAAAGAAAAAGAUUGUGGGACAUCUGAAAUUGACCAUCAUAGUUUUAAUACACUUUUAACUUAGCAUUGAAAAUUGAAACUACCAACAAACUGUCCACAACUAAACGAAACAUCACACGAUGAAUUAAAUAACCAAUAAAGGUAUCACAUUGGAUGCCUAGACAGUGUAAUCUAACACCUAAGCAUCAAUGAUAGAACAAAAGGGGAGCAAAAUAUAAAAAACAAAGAAACUAAUAAUAACGCUACUGGAAACAGCGAAUCAAUAUUGCUUAAGUCAACUAUGCAAAUUUGUACCUGUCAUUUCCAAAUCAAUCCACACAAGGGGCAUCUUGUAGUCUGUCGAAGAUGACGCAAGAAUUUCUUGGUUGAGUCUACCAUUUUUCUGUGAAUUCUCUUUUACUGAUGAUUCAGCUUUUUUGCUGUUUUUCAGUGAAUUAUCUUUUCCUGAUGAUUCACCUUUUUUGCCGUCUUUAGCUGCAUAUAAGCAAACUUUCAAGGAGCGUAUAAAGAGAAUUUGACUUACUACAUAGUUAAUCAGAAUGUCAGCUUCCAUUUAAGUAAAAAAUUCACUCAAUAAACCAUUACAUCUCAAAAACAAAACCAGAACAAGUGAGAGAUAGAAAAGGAACAGAGAAACUUCCUUUGGGAUCAAGAAAAAUUAUGAUAUCCAAAUAUUUCCUAGACGUAUAUGUCACGCAACAGUUAAUGUGAUGCUGCACAUGCCUAACAGUCAUGUGCAAAUGUUCCUACGUAUGUUAUAAAACUAUAUUCUCUCAAUUCUCACAUGUAUGAAACUUUCUCACUAGUUUUUAGUAAAAUCCCCAAAAAAGCAUAUAUGAAGACUGCGAUUCUAAAGGGGUAUAGAUGUAGAACGCUAAUUUUUUUAGGGGUAUGUAUGUAACUCAAAGAAGUGUUUGCCAUGCAUGAAUGUGCAACUUAACUCAAGAAUUCAAAAAAGAAACUAAUCUGUGAGAUCUAGACCUAGUGGUCACAGUAUUCUUUGAAAACUAACCUGAUUUAGGAGAUUUGCUUUCAUCUUUGGCAGCAACUAGAGUUGUAAUUUGAUCUGUAUCAUCUUCAGCAUCCAAGGUAAGAACAGAGAAGACGUUAGCAAGCUUAUCCAUCAGAAGAAUCCUUUUCUUACAGACCAAAUGAAACCUGUUUUUUUUAACAUCCACAAAGCAUCCAUGUAGUUAAAACUCAAUGGUAGCAAAAGAGGAAAAUCAAAGUCAAGAAAUACACAAGAAAUAACUGCAUGCUGAAAUAAAGUGCUAGUAAACUUGCAACAUUGAUUACCCAAUGAAUCAUGAUGAGAAUGCUCAUUCUCAUUGAAUAAAUAUUGUGAGUGCUCAUAUCAAGUUAUAUAAAUGAGAUUCAAGUUGUUAUGAUGGUGAUCAGGGUAGCUGACAGGGCCAUCGCUAAAAUGCUUAGGCACUACCUUAGUGUUUUAGCUGGACCGGUGAAUAACUCAUAUAUUGCAAACUUUUUUUGGAUAAUCUAAAAAAACUUUCAAAGAAAAAAAGGAAAGCACCAACACUUCAACUCUGUUUGGAUGCAUGAACAUCUUGCGUAGCAUAUCUCUUUGAUUUAAAUAAGAAGCCUGCAGUAUUUGGUAGAUGAGGAGUGUUAUCAAAUAUCUAGAAUGGAAUACUAUAUUCCACCAUCAAAUCAUUUUUUUUGAAAUAAGAUAAAUCACCUCGUAGAUGAACUAUGCUAUCCAACCAAAUCAUAGAUGUCAAGACCUUCCAAGGAGAAAAAAUCAAACUCCUUACUUUUAAUCACACAAGAGAGCCCUCAAUAAGUUAUCAUUGGAUAACUUAUUCCAACAUCCAAAAGAGCUUUUAUCUCAUCCAAACCAAAACAGUUUAAACACAUGUAACUAUGAUGCUCUCUCAAAAGGAUAAUCCUUUAGAAAAUAAGACGGAAUGAUUUGUCCUUAUCUACAAAAAUUGUAGAAGGUAGAUAAUUGCAUUCGACAACAAGGCUAAGGCCUAGUUUGGUAAUGCGGAGGCUACAAGCACCGGUUUUAUGCGUUGGAAGGCCCAAAAAGAAUUCGAAAACAGUUUCAAUAUUCCCUCCUUUAAUGCUAUAAGAUUGCAGUGGCUAAAAUUGGAAGCGCUUUCAAAAUUUUUCGCCCUCCCACAAUAUAAAAGCGGUGCUUUUAGCCACCACAUUAACAAACUAGACCUAACACCUACUACGGUUUCAAUUCGUGUGCCCUGGUGAUAUGAAAACUUAAAAGCUAGACACAAUGUCGCAUUGUACUCCAUUACCAAUUCAACUGUGACAGCAAGCAAAGUGAUCUUACAAAUGAAAAGGAAAAAAAAGGAAAAAAAAAGAAGAAAAAUCCCCUUCAAUCGCUAGGAAUUCCCAUGCCCAAACUAAAAAUCAUUAGACAUUCAUCUUUAGCACUCAUUAUUCCACUAAAAAUCCACUUCACCACUAGUAUCUCCAAAAUUCCAAACAUCUACAAACCCAAAAAGAAAGCUUAAUUUGUCCUAAAUUAAUCGUCAGAGCAAUCAAAAUUACAAAUUUUGUCACGAUCACUCGGCAUUCGCCAUUUUCCGCGCAAGAAUCCUACAAGUUCAUCUUCUAAUCCCCCCCACCCUCCACAAUCAUUCCCAUUCUCAUAGCAAUCUCUCUGUCCGAGGGAACCCAAAUUAACACAUGCACACAAACAUAUCCUCAAAACAUCCGAUCAAAGAGGAUCAAGAUACAACUUUUCCAGCAGAUGCAUCAAGAAACCAAGCACACAAACCCCAAAUCAACAUAUAAUAAUUAACCAAUCAAAGCAAAAUUGGGUGCAAAAACAAGAGCAGAAAGAGUGAUACCCUAGGUCAGAUACGGAUCAACUCUUCUUCUUCUUCUUGUUCUUCUUCUUCUACUACUACUACUACUACUGGGUUUGUUUAGGAAAUAGAGAGAGAGAGAGAGAGAGAGAGAGAGAGUUAGGGUUUUAGUGGAGUUCGGCGAGGACGAGGAACGAUUUACGUAUGGAGUCGCAUGGACUGAGGCGUAUGCGGAUAGGCGCAUACUAAUUGUCGAUUUCUUUUUUUAUUUUUUUGAAAAACUCCAGUGUGAUUUCUUACUUACUCACUUUAGUAUCCUGUAGUUUAAAACGUAUCAAUUUAGUAUCAUAUAAUUUUAUUUUCUUUUUAUUAUUUAUUUCACUAAUUUUUUUCUUUUAAAUACGCUUUUAUGAUUUUUCACUUUCUCACUUUUGUACCCUAUGGUAUAAAGUGUAUCAAGUUAGUAUCUUGUGGUUUUAUUUUUCUCUCGUCAACUCCUCCAUUAAUAUUUCAUUAAAUUAUAUACAAAAAAAACUUCAAAUAUUCAUCUAGAUUUCUCGAAUAUUCACUUUAAUAUCUUUAGUUUUAACUUUUUUAUUGAUUUAAUAAAAAAAAUAAUGGAAUAGAUAAUAAAAAGAGAAAAUUAAAUGAAACGAUAGAAUACUAAUUUGAUACACUUUAAAUCACUCACUAAAACUAAAGUGAGAAAAUAGAAAACCGCGGGGGUGGUAUUUGAAAUUUAUUCUUUGUUUAGGAUAAAAAUUAGACUAAAUUAUUCUUUUGAUCCUCAAACUAUUAUAAACGUGAUACUUUAAUUCUCAAAUUUUAUUUUUUUAUAAUUUUCUACAGAACCGUUACGAUCUAAUUCACUGACUCACAAAACAUCAUGAAUAUAUAUUGAAUUAUUAUUUUUUUAUAUGUAUAUUAAGUAUAGUAUUUUAUAUUACUUUUAAAUAUUAUUAUAUUAUAUGUACUUAAAAAUAUAUUCAAAUUAUAGAUUAUUAAAAAAUUAAUGCAUACUUUUAAUUAAUUAUGGAAAAUAUAAAAUAAAAAGAGAUAUCCGGUUCAUUUGUUAAACCAUAUAUUGGUCUGAAUGGUUUAAAACAUGUUUUAAGUCAAUUCAAUUUAUGGGUGAAAGCGAAUCGGUUUGGAUGCUGGAUUACGAUUCGACCCGUUUCAUCAGCCGACCUGAGUUGUAAAACAUUACAAUUUCGGACUCAAAUUUUUUAAAUUAUUAUAAUUAAAUCACAUGAUUCAAUUUAAUAUACUAAAUAUUAACAUAUCCUAAUAUAAAAAUAAUAAGACAUCUUAAUUAUUUUAAUAUUAUUAAUUAUAAUAUGCUAUCGUGUUACUUUCAUAUUAACGAUGCAUCAAUAUUCAAUCAACUAAUUAAGCUGAUCUGUAGAACUUAAUUAUAAUAAUUUAAAAAAUUUGUACCGGAUAUUAUAAUAGCUAAAGUUUGAGCAUUGAAGUGUUACACACCUUGUAAUUUGAGAACCAAAAUAAGAUAAAAUCAUGCAGAAUUUAUUUGAAUUGGUACCAUUGUGAUGCCCGGACUUCCCAGGGGGUCACCCAUCCUAGGACUACUCCCGUCCUAGCACGCUUAACUCUCUUAACCUCUUGGGUUUAGCCACGACCCAAAAUGCUUAAGCCGGGUUAAGAGUUUAGCCCUAUUAUAUCUUAUAUAUAGGACUAUCUGGGGUCUCACAAUUUCCCCUCCUUUAAGCCCUAACGUCCUCGUUAGGCGCAGACUCACAAGUACUAGGCGAUGUGAGACUCGUCUCGCUAGCCUUGUCAUUCCGACCCCGGCUCAGCCGAGACUCAUCUCACACUUUUGGCUGGUAAUUGGCUCUGAUACCAACUAUGAAGCCCCGACUUCCCAGGGGGUCACCCAUCCUAGGACUAUUCCCGUCCUAGCACGCUUAACUCUCUUAACCUCUUGGGUCUUGCCACGACCCAAAAUGCUUAAGCCGGGUUAAGAGUUUAGCCCUAUUAUAUCUUAUAUAUAGGACUAUCUGGGGUCUCACAAUCAUUUUUAUUCGAUUUUUUUUAUCAAUCAAUCAAUAAUAUUUUGACUUCAAAAUUUAAGCUUUUUUUCUUGCAGCUAAGUAAAUAUGAUUAGAAUGUUCCAUGUGCAAUGACUUUUGAGUUCAAUUCUCCCAUUGAGUGCAAAUGUGUUGUGAGGAGGUUGGUAAAAACUUAUUUUAAAAAAAUGAAAAAAAAAUAAAUAAAGGAAUGCCAAGGCAUAUUUGGAUUGAUAAUACUUUAAUGUUUGUAGAGCACAAGUGCAAUGAAAUUUAUUUUGUCACAAGUUCCACCACUUUAAUUGUUUAUUUUGACGAAACUUGUAAAUAAGUUUCCGACAUUUAUUAGUAUAUUUUUAUCGUAAACGAUCACCUAAUUUUAACACCUCUUACUUAUAUAUCUAGAUAAAUUUUAAGCAAAUAAUUUUAACUAAAUAUUAUUUGCACAAUUAUUAUGAGAAAUGGAGAGUGGAGGAGGAUGAGUUCACUAACAUAUGAACAAAUUAAGAAAAAUGUAUAAGAUGUUCUCUUUGUUAUUUAACCUCAUCCAUUUGAUCAGAGGAAGUAUAUUCUUAUUGCUGUAUUUAUAUACUGCAUAAAGUUUCAUACAAGUUUAGGUUAAACUCUUUUUGAGCCUGGUUAGUUUCAACUAAUUAUGGCUCGAUCCAAACCCUUGAUAGCAAUUCCUAAUAAUAUAUCGAUCGUGCUAAAUGUUUAGUACUUGAGAUUUCAAGUUUUAAGUUUAGUUGUUUCAUAUUUUUAAAAAAUCGUACGAAAAUUUAAAAACAACGUAGCACAUCCCCUUUUUUUUUUCUAUUAUUAACUUAGUACCACAUGUAAAUAUUAAAUACUGUUAUUAAAUUUGGUGGUUUUCAAAGCCCGGAUUUGACCUGAACAUCUUGAUAUGAAAUUUAAUUCUCAAAUUAAUGAAAAUGUUGGUAUCAUUAUUGUGUGUGCAUGAUCAAAGCAUCAUCUAUCUACAUUUCACAGAGAAAAAAUAUUAAGUGGAUGAAAAUUAAAAAGCUAUCAUAUUCAGCACCAGAGAAGAGUUUGGUUGCUUUUGUAUAUUCCAACAAAAACAACUUGUGUGGUUUACAUUACAUGGCCAAUAACAAAUAUUUGCCAUUAAAAAAAAAAAAAAAAAAAACUAAACAUAUACUAAAAGCCCCUUUGUAGAUUGUGAUUUACAAACCUCUGUUGAUUUCAAAAAUAUACAAAAUAUAUGCAUCUUUGAGCAAAUCAUCACUUAAACUUACAAAUUUUUAAUAUCCAUAAAAUACCUUAACAUUUUUUAAUAUAAUUUUAAAAUUAAAAAUAUACAGAGCUUAUUUAAAUUAUAAAUUAUUUUGAAUUAACUAUAUUCAAAAUUUUAAUUUUACUAUGCAAACUUGACAUUUUUAAGUUCAAAUUUUAAAUACAUUAUUUAUUUUCACUGAUUUAAUUAAAAUAAUUUGAUUAAUAUAAUUCAUAUAAUUUUCAUAAUUAUAAAUUUAUUAAAAUAAUUAAUUAACUUAAACUGUAAAGUGAAAAUAAUGUAGACAGAUUCAAAUCAAACGAAUUGAAAUAUUAAACAACAAAAUUAAAAUUUACAAAAUUAAAUAAUUAAUUCAAAAUAAUUCAUACGGCAAGUAAACUUCACACAUUUUUACCCAUUUACAAAAAUUCUAUUACUACACACCAAAAACUGAAUGCAAUUCAUAGUCCAUCAUAAAAUUUACAAAAACUCAAAUAAUUUUUAAUAUAAAAAUUAAUGACGUAUAUAAAAAAUAAAGACAUUUAAAUGAAGACACUACAACAAAAACGGUCUAUAGCGGCACUUUUAAAUGUAGGUACAUGUCAAAAAAAUGCUGCUAGCUAAAAUUACCGACACUUUUAAAAAGUAUUGCUAUAUGUAAAGUCGCUAGGUAUAUAGUGACAGUUAAAGAGUGUCACUAUAACCUAAAAAAGUGUUACUAAUUUACCAACACUUAUUUAAACAUUUAACAACCGCCGAAACUCUAUCUCGUUGGCUGCGGUGGCGGAGAAGGACGACAGGAAAGACUCUUCGUCUAGCAUUUAAAUGGAUUGAGUGAAGAGAGAAGAAAAAAUGGUAAUUGAUUUUUCUUUUCUUUUUUCUUUUCAGUUUGAAAUCGAGCCAAAUGGACUAGGUGUAGUAGAUUGAGUAAAGUAAUCUUUUAUUUUUUGUUAGAUUGGGCUUUAUAUUUAGACAUUACUCGAUAUUUUUUUAAAUUUUAGCAUAAAUGAAACAUUUUUUUAAAAGUGUCCCAAAUAUGUGUCCCUAUAACCUAAUUCUGUUGUAGUGAGAGGAUAAAAAAUAACAGCUAUAAUUUUCUUUUUGUCUUUUUAUGUAGUUUACAACAAUUACUUCUUGGUUUUGCAUUCUACAAACAACCCAAAAAACCCAAAGUACGAGUUCAUUAAAAAGAUUAGAAAAGAUACACAAAUUACAACUUAUUUCCACAUUCCAUACAAGAUAUAGAAUUAACAUUUAAAAUUACAUUUUAGUAUAUAUUUUCCAAUGUUUUAUCAACAGUGAUAAAAUUAUGAAGGAGCUAGACUCAAACGAUGAGUACAAAUUAAACGAGAUUUUCUAAUAAAUGUUUUAAAAUCGAGAGUAAACUGUACCUUGCAAUAUAUACAAGAAGAUUUUAUACAUAUUUACCCAAAAAUGAUUAACAAAAAGUAGACACAAAAUAGUAAAAAAAAACACUUUAUCUAAAUAAAUGUUGGAGAUAAAUUAAUUGGUUUUCUAACUAUUACAUUGAAGGUGACUAAGAGNGAACAGCUUCUGCAACUUGAAUUUAAUUAUUUAUGCCAAGUUUCUUCUGAAAGGUCACAACUAGUCACAGGUAUAUACCUGCAUUCAUAAAAAUAAUAAACAUAUAUAUAGAAACAAAAUAAGUACAUAUAUAUAUAUAUAUAUAUAUAGAGAGAGAGAGAGAAAGAGAGAGAGAGAGAGAGAGAGAAUUGCAAAAAGAAAUAGAAAAGAACCCAAGAACAGCUUCUGCAAUUUGAAUUUAAUUAUUAUGCCAAGUUCCUUCUGAAAGGUUACAACUAGUCACAAGUAUAUACCUGCACUCAUAAAAAUAAUAAACAUAUAUAUAUAUAAACAAAAUAAGCAUAUAUAUAUAUAUAGAGAGAGAGAGAGAGAGAGAGAAUAACAAAAACAUAAAAAAGAUCCCAAGAACAGCUUCUGCAACUUGAUUUUAACUGUUAUGCCAAGUUCCUUCUCAAAGGACACAACAAGUAGUCACAGUAUAUAUACCUGUGGUCAUAAAAAUACCUAACAUAUAUACAUAUAUAGAAAAAAGUCACUAAUCAAGCACCUGCAUCAAGCUUUGAUCAUUAAAAAUUCAGUAUGUGAGAUAUAAUUUAAUAUGAGAUGCACCAAAACCAUAAGUAGAUUUGAUCUAUGUUGAUCAAAAAACCAAAAAAAAAAAUUAGUUACAGUUAACCUAUGUAAGAUACACAUGCAUGUAUACAAACUUUUUGUAAAGGAAUUGUAAGCCUAGUAAUGGAGACUUACUUUCCACAUGUUGGAACAAAAAAUAAAGCAGGUAUAGAAGUGUCAGUAUAAUGCAAAUCUAAUAAAAGAUCUGCAAAACAAAGAACAAAAAAAAGAGCACUAGAAGGGAAUAGAUUUAACAAGGAAUCUAUGAGUACCACUAUUAGCAGUAGAAACAGUAGGAAUAAAGAGAACAUAAUAUAUAUAUAUAUACCAUGGAACUUAAGAAACAAACCAAAUGAAUAAUUACAUUUUUUUUCCUACAACAGAUAGAGAUGAAAAAAUUUUUAAUGAGAAACAUUAAAAGAGAUUAAGUAAUUAAUUAACAAAUCAAAAAAAGAAGGUUAUAAGAAGAGAUGAGUGUACAAAGCUCCCUCCAUCAAGUAUAUAUAAGUGAUGAGGACUAAUGCAGCUUUUAAACAAGCCAAAGGUGAAUUUUUUUUAUGUAGUUAGGUCAAAGAUGCAUGCUAAUUAAGAGUAUUAAGGUAGAAAUGCUUGUAAAAAAAAAUCUCUAAAUAAUUUCCUACAACAAAUAAAGGAGAAAAUUUUGAUAUGUUAAGCUCAAUAUGCAAAGAAAACUCUCAUUAAAUAUAUUCAUAUGCUUGUGAGAAGAGUUAAAAAAAAAAAAGAGAGAGAGAACUCAUCAAUUGCGAAGUUAACCUAAGAGGAGGUGAGAUAACCAACAAACAAAAUUAAUUUGUAAAUCAAACAUUUCCCUACUCAUAUAGCUCUAAGAUCCAUGCUAAGAAUCUAUAAAAAAAUACAAGUGCUUGUGAGAAAGAGAAAGGAGAUCUUAAAAAGUGAGGUAUAAAGUAGUGGAUGUAGAUGCAGAGCUCCCUUCAAUCCAAAUAGAGAUCAUGUAAGGGCUAAUGCAGCUCCUGUGUCAUGCAAACCACUAAACCUAUCUCAAAUACUCAUAUCCAUCUCUCUCUCUCACUCUCUCUCUUAAUAAACUCUUAAUCUCUCUCUCUCUCCCUCUCUCUCUCUCUCUCCCUCUCUCUCUCUUCUUUUUCUUCUAUGAGAUAGGAGAGUGGGAUCCAUAACUCAGCAGCUAAAUUGCCCCUCAAAAGACCCUUCAUUGGACCCAAGGAAGCUCCACCCCAGAACCCAUAGAACCAAGAUCCUCUAAACCAAAGAAAAAAAAAAGAAUAACAUACAAGAGUAAAAUAAAAGGCACAUAAACCAAAAAACCAGUGAAGUGAAAAAAAAAAAAAAAAAAAAAACCCAGGAAGAAUAUGAGACCAGCAGAUGGUGAUGGGUUCUUCCUUUCAUGGAAGCAAAAUCUCACCCCAAAAACACAACAAACAAAAAAGAAAAAGAGAAAGUUAAGAGAGAGGAAGGAAGCAAAGCCAAAUAAAUAGAUUUACAAACAAAGAAAUUGAGAUGUGGGCUCAUUUAUUUCAUGGAACCAACAUCUCAAAAAAAAAAAAAAAAAAAAAAAAAACACACACACACACACACACACACACACACACACAACAAAAAGAGAGCCUUAACUAAGAUUCAAGCUCUACAAAGCACACAACACAUAUAUUUAGCCUAAGAGAGAAGAAGAAGCAAAACCUAGUGGAAAGAGGAGAGGAGAGGUGGGUCCUUUUAUAGAAGGCUUCGAGAGAGAGAGAGAGAGAGAGAGAUAAUAAGGGGGAGUGGGUGUAUGGGGGGAAGGUUUAUUUACUCCUUUUUACUCCCUCUCCUCCUAUUUACUUCAUCAUAGAAUAGAUUGAUUGAAGAGAGAGAGAGAGAGAGAGAGAGAGAGGAGGAGGGGAGUCUCCUCCUUGGGAAGAGGCUUCAAUAGAUUCCUCUCUGACAAUCUUCUGACCACUCACAUGCCUGCAAGAUAAGAAAAUUAUUGCAUGGACCUGGUCCACCAGAUCAUCCAAUAUUGCUUUUUAAUUUUUGGAUGCAGGUAUAGCCUAAAUUUUGAAAAAUUCUACCUCGCAACAUUUACAUUAUAUUACCUAUUUUCAACCAAUUAAAUUAUUUUUAAAUAAAGUAUAAUAAAAAUAUUUUUUUUAAUAAUUAUGAUGGAAUUGUUGAAUCAAUGAAAAUAAAGGGAUUAGUUCGAAACAUCACAUCAAUAAUUUAAUUAGUGUAUUCUAAAUUUUUUCUCGACUUUACAGUAAUUUGGUUCGAUGUAAUUAUUAACGCUAUAGAAUUAGAGGUAUAUGCAAUUAAAAAUAUCAUAAUUCUAGUAACGUGAAAAAAAUAUAAAUAUAAAUAAUUUAUUUGGUUGUAUAUAGUUGAGAAUUAUAUUUAUAAAUUUUAUCCAUUAUAUAUAUAAAAUGGAUAGAUUAUUAAACGUGAAAGAAAAAAUAUUUUUUUAUUUACCAACAAUAAGAGAGCUAAUCUUACAUUUCAUUUAAAAUUGCUCUUCGUAAUUCCUCCGGUUGGAAUUAUGGUUAAUUUUUAGGUAAAUUUAAUUGUUGGUGCUGAGCCUUCUCAUGCAAGGUCAUCUCCUUACAAUUACAAUUAUAAAGCAAUUAUAACUAUAUAUUAUCAAACAAACCCUUAUUAAAGUAGUUUUCUCUAUUCUUUAGUCUUUUAAUUUUUAUAACAAAAUUCUCUUAAAUUUUAUUAAAUAAUUAUUUAAAACUUAAUCGAUCCACUAUAGCAAGCAAAAUCAGGAACUAAACCGUUAUACUAGUGACAUGCCUUAGACAUAAUUUUGUUCAAUUACAGUCACAGGAAAAAAUUAAAAAAAAAAAUCUCCUCCCAUGAAUAAUAUAAAAAAUGGGUGAAUAUAGAUGUACUUCAAAACUUAUAUAGGAUAUUUGUCGAGAAUAUAACUGUUUAAUUAGUAAUUUCGCUUCAGAAAAAUACUAAUUAAAUAAUUUAGUAAUAUUUAAAAUUGGCUAAAUUAUAAAAAAUUCUGCUGUCAAAAUUUGAUUUUUCAUUUUUUCUCUCUGUCAUUUAAAAAUCUGCACUUUGUCCCCUUAUAAAAUGAAAAAUUUACACUUCAUCCCCUACCGUUAGAGUUCCGUUAUAAAAUAUUUUUUUAUGCCAAAAAUACCCCUCUGCCGUCUUCUCUGUUGCUUCGCCUCCCUCUAGCUCGCCGCCUCACCGCCUCGCCAUCCUCCACUGCCUCGCCCUCGCCGACAUCCCCUUCGCCCUCCUCCGCCGCCUCGCCUUCGCCCUCGUUACCCUUGCCUAUCUCUCCAUCAAUGCCGACCUCGAUUUCCUCCUUAUUGUCGUUGAAUCGAGGGGCGGCAAGGGUACAGGAGGAGAAGGGGAGUAGGUGGAGAAAAAAAUUGAGAGAAAUCGCGGUCGAUCACGGAGUGAAUCGUGACCGAACGAGGCAGCAGGUUGAGGAAGACAAUGGAGGAGACGAAAAUGGUGAAGGGCAAAAUGAUCAUUUUACACACCGUACCCCCUUGUGAGCAUUUUUUAUUUUACAAGGGGACAAAGUGUAGGUUUUUAAAUGACAGGAGAGAAAAGUAAAAAAUCGGGUUUUGACAUAAGGAUUUUAUAUAAUUUAGCCUUUAAAAUUUUAAGAGGUUAUUUGCUAUAACUCAAACUAUUUAGUAAAUAUGUUUUUGUGCCUAAAUUUAUAUGAAAGGCCUCUAAUCUUUUGACGUUCUUGUCAACAAAAUUUCCUCGUAUGCACAUACUAUUCUCAAAAAAUAUGACUUGAAUUCAAGGCUUUUAUUUUAGAGAAAAAAAAAAAAACAACCAACGGGACAAUAUAUGCAGUGUCAAUCUAUUAUGUUAGCUAGGUAGGAAAUGUAUAUGAACUAAUCUUUUGUAGAUAAAUAUAAAAUGGAUGUGGACUUUAUUUUGUUUGAUCUAAAUUAUCAUACUCAAUUAAAUUAAAAUUGUAAUUUUUAAUAAGUAUUUAUUAUAUAUUUUUAGCUUAAAUAUGGUUAAAUCAUAUAUAAAUGAUUAAUUGGAUAUAACCUCCUAAAGUCAAAUAUGUAGUUCCAUAUAAAAAAUAAUGAAUUUUAAAAGAUUUCCUAUCUAAAUAUUGAUGUUGUUAGCUGAGCUAUUACUUGAUGCACAAUUUAUUUGAUAUUUAAGUCAUAUUUUAUGAUUUAAAAUUUAUUUUGGAGUUCUAUAAUGAAGUUGGUUAAAAUUAGGUUCACGCUGGACCAGGUCCAUGCAACUCUACUUAUCUAUUUAUCGCCCUUUGAUUUUGUGAGUGUGGAUAGGAGCAACGUAGUAGUAUAUUUCUAGAAAAUGCUAGAGCCGUACGUAACUAAUUUAGAGAUUAAUAAUGUAUUAAUUAAUUGAUUAAUUAAUUAAGACCAUAAUAAUGUUGUUAUUGGUUGGGAAAGCUCUAGAAGCAUAUAUAUAUAUAAUGCAAUAAAGAGUUAUGGUUUUAAUAAUCACCAUUUAUAGUAGUUAGUUAUUAUUGAAUUUAAAUAAUUUUAUGGCGCUUCAGGUACAAAAUUUAAAUUAUUUAUUUAUUUUAAUAAUUUUAUAGUCAUAUAAAUUAUACAAAAUAUUCUAAUUAAAUUCAUAAAUAUAAAUUAGCUCGAAUUAAAUAAAUUAAGAGAUUAGAUAAUUAAUAAGAUUUAAAUUUUCAAAGAUUAGAUCGUGAAAUUAAAAUAGGUGAUAGUUAAGAUAAAUUUAAUGCAUUUUUAUUUUUUUUAUUAUCUGGAUAAUUCAAUUCUUAAUGAAAUGUAUAAUUAUAUAAUUAGUUUAGGUUUUUGCUUAUUUCAAAUAAAUAGAGAAUAAUAUAUUAGCUACUACAAAUGAGGAUGCUAUUAUUAUUGGAUCAGAGCUUUUGCGACAUCUAGAACUAUAGCUAUGUGUGCGGUCCUCAUAAUCCCACAUAAGAUAAAAAUAUAUAUAUAUAUAUCAUUAAAAAUUUAAAAAACAAAGAUUCUGCUGACAAUAAUUAAAUUUAAGAGUUAAUUGCAUACAUCUCUCUAAAAAUAUAGCAAAUAACAAAUAUAUAUAUCUAUAAAGUUCAACUUUUCAUAUUUAUUCCUACAAAAGUUCUUACGUUUUCAAAUAUAUCCACGUUAUUAGAAUCCGUUAGGAAAAUAUAGUUAAUCAAAAUUAAAUACUUAAUUUUGAUUAAUAAAUAAGGUAAAUUGAUCUUUUUACCCCUCUCAUACUAUUUAUAACGGUAGAAAGGAAGAAGAUGGCUGUUAAAAAUUUUUAGGAUGAUAUUUCUGCAUAAUUCUAACAAUUGGCGCUUUUAGAGGGACAUAUUUGUAAUGGCAAAAAUGUCAUUUCACUUAUCUUUUAUUAGAAAAUAAGUCGUACUCUAACAAUAACAAUCAGAUGGACAAAUAUAAAUAUUACUGAACUUUUGUAGUGAUAAAUAUAAAAAUUUAUACUUUGUAUAAAUAUAUUUGUUAUUCGAUAUGUUUACAUGAAGCUAGCUGUAUAAAAUUAACCCUAAAUUUAAAUAUUUUGAGCAGUUGGUUUAAAUCCAACAAGUCAUGAGUGCUAGCGGACUAGAUCAUUUUAUUCGUUCGGAGCUCCAAUAAUUCCUCAAGGGAUGAAAAACAAAAAAACCAAAAUCGCUAAUAAUAAUAAUAAUCAAAUUUAAUUAUUUUAAAGCCAAGUGUGAGAGAUAGUAUAGCUAGUGAAGCAAAAUUAAACACUUAUUGUUGCAAGGUAGAUCACAUCCACACCUAAUGUAAUGGAUGGUUAUAAUAAUUAAUAUAGGGUUAACUAUCAUUUGAUGACACAAAAAAUAGAAAAAGGAAAUUAUAACAAUUAGCAUUUUGAUGAUACCAAAAGAGAAAAAAUAUAAAAAAAAUAAAAAAUCUCCCCAGUAUAUGAACUACAAGAGGUGUCCAAGGUUUUAGUCCCAGACCGAACCAAACGAACUAAAAUUAUUUGAUUUAGUUAUAUAAUUUUCGGUUCGGCUAAGAAGAGUUUGGUUCGGUAUAAAUAUAUUGAAAUUUUAUUUUCAGUAUGAAAAAUAUUUUUUCAUUUAAGUACGAAGAACUCCAUAUUUUUAAUAACAUACAAGAACUCCUCUCUCUCUUUAUAUAUAUAUAUAUAUAUAUAUAUAUAUAUAUAUAUAUAUAUAUAUAUAUAUAUAUAUAUAGAGUUGAGUUGGAAUACUAUCGAUAGCAAACGGGCUCCGUUGCCAUCCAUUUGCUUUCGAUGAUGGAGCCUCCAAAUCGACGAUCGGCACGGUUAAAAAUAAUCUAUACCACUUGAAGUAUUUAGAAAUCAAAUUUCAUACUUUUCCGAUACUAUUUUCUUGUCCAUCAAGUGGGCGUAAAAAUGAAUGGCUGAAAAUGAAUAUCCUCUAAAAAGUGAUGAUACAAAUUUUGUAAUCAUGAUCGAGAGUAUAGAUCUUGUUUUAAAUAAUUUAAAGAAAUUUCUAACCAAAAUUCAAUUGAUUAGAAUAGCUUUACACCAUUAAACGAGAAAAGCCCUCAUAUCAACCAUUAAAAUUACUAAUUUUGAAACCCUUUGAUCAUUAGGUAAAUGAUGUCGAAAAGAUUUGAAAUUUAAUUUCUAAAUACUUCAAGUGAUAUAGAUCAUAUUCAACGAUGUCGAUUGUCGAUUUGAAAGCUCCAUCAUCGAAAACAAAUGGAUGGCAACGGAGCCCGUUUGCUACCGAUAGCAUUCCAGCUCAACAAGAUCUAUAUGAGUCGAGCUGGAAUACUAUCGGUAGCAAACGGGCUCUGUUGCCACCCAUUUGUUUUCAACGAUGGAGCCUCCAAAUCGACGAUCGGCACCGUUAAAAAUGAUCUAUACCACUUGAAGUAUUUAGAAAUCAAAUUUCAUACUUUUUCGAUACUGUUUUCUUGUCCAUUAAGUGGGCGUAAAAAUGAAUGGCUGAAAAUGAAUAUCCUCUAAAAAGUGAUGAUACAAAUUUUGUAAUCAUAAUCGAGAGUAUAGAUCUUGUUCUAAAUAAUUUAAAGAAUUUUCUAACCAAAAUUCAAUUGAUUUGAAUAGCUUUACACCGUUAGUGACGUGACCUGUAAUUAUUAUUUUAUUUUUUGGAAUAAACUUUUAAUGACACUGAUUAUAAAUGAGCGCGCACAUGAUGAUCACUGUUUGUAAUUAGUAAUUAAUGACUUUAACAAAGUAUUCAAAUAUUACUGGCCAAGAUAACUUAAAUUAAAAAAAUUUUAAAAGAUGGUUAGGGUUACAUGCUUAUCUAUUCAUAUAUUAUUAUUAUUUUUUCUAAAAGUUAUUUUAUUUUACUUUAUUUAUUUUUUGAUGUGACAUACUCAUCCAAAUGUGUCGCAAUAAUAUAGGCUUGUCCUUAGUAUCNAUAUUACUGGCCAAGAUAACUUAAAUUAAAAAAAUUUUAAAAGAUGGUUAGGGUUACAUGCUUAUCUAUUCAUAUAUUAUUAUUAUUUUUUCUAAAAGUUAUUUUAUUUUACUUUAUUUAUUUUUUGAUGUGACAUACUCAUCCAAAUGUGUCGCAAUAAUAUAGGCUUGUCCUUAGUAUCAUUGGAACGGAGAAAACUUUCUCCAGCAGCUGCUAAAUAUAAAAUAUUAAAAAUAUUAUUAUACAGUGCUUCAAACUUUUAAAAAUUAAAAGUUAUUUUUGUUUUGAAAGUUCUGAAUUUAAAUUCUAUAUAUAUAUAUAUUUUUAGCACCUUAAAUUUUUAAAAAUGAGUAGACAAUUGACCAAAAUUACAUUUAGUCAAUUAAAUUUUUAGAAACAAGCAAUUGUAUUACAAAAAAGUUUCUUUGACAAAGAAAUACUUACUACCAGUAUUUUAAAAAUAUUUUAGCAGCACUAUAUUUAUGAAAUAUUUUGGUUUCUUAAAAGAAUUUUAAAAAAUUAGUAACAUGUAAGGACAAAAAAUUUGAAGGAUAUUAAUGUAGGAUUACUCCAGUGUAAUAAAAUUUUCGAUUGCUUACGUUAACGCAUAACUAGUGAAGAUAUCCGCGCAUUGCGGCGGAUCGAUUUCGUAGAAAAUAAAAAAAUAAAAGUCAAAGAGUAAAAAAAAUACAAAUAAAAAAAACUUAAGAAGAAACAACGAUAGCUACAAUAAAAACAUAAGUAUAAAAGUACAAGAAGAAUCAAAAAAGAAUAAAAAAAAAUUUAAUUAUAAUAAUAAUAAAUUUUUAUUUAUAAUAGUACGUAGUAAAAGUUGAGAAUUAAAAUAUUAUAUGCCUUAUAGUUGAAGUCAGAAAUUACAAUUAAUUAAAGUUUGAGGAUUAAACCAUCACGUGCCUCAUAAUUUGAGCAAGAAAAUAUAACACAUUAAAAGAUAAUGACUAAAAUGUCACACGUCUUAUAGUUUAGAAUCAAAAGUAUAAUUUAUCUUUCUUAUAUUUUAAUUCUAUUUCAGACGAACGCAAAGUUCUAUACGAUAUGUUAAACUAUCUAAUAAAUUUUUGAAUGUCUAAUUGUUAAAAUUAAAAGUCGAUCAAUUAUUUUUUAGAUAUUUCAAAAGAUUUUAAAUGUAAAAUUGAUCGUUCAUCAAACUAUAAAUAUGGCAUUGAAGUUUGAUAUGAAAAUCAAAGUAAAAAUAUAUAGAACUUUUUAGAACUAUAAACCAUUUUAAAUUAUGUAGUGACCUUGGAAUUCAGCAUUUGAGAUUUGUCGACAGCUCUGGAGAGUGUCGGGACGAGUUCGAGUCCUGUUGGCGUGAAAUAGGCGCAAACUGGACUCAGCGGGACGCGAGAGCAAAGAGUUAGCAUUGCAAUCUGCAAAUUACAGAUUUUCAGCAAUUAGUACCAGUACCAUACAGAGGCGUACCGGUACCCAGUGCAUUUUCUGCGCAGACUGCUCUCGGGCUGCCCAUUCUACUGCAGGGUACCGGUACAACAUUGGAUUGGUACCGAUACUCCAGGGUAGGUGAGGGGCUGUUUGGUCUUUUGAUGCCUCGAUCGUGUCACCCUCUCUCCCACCUCUUCAUAUACAUGUAGAGAGGCUGAGAGAAGGUUGGCAUGUUCUCUCAUUCUCUCUCUCUCUAGUUUUUGAGCCGUACGUGGUGAAGCUUUUGGGUGGAGUUCGGAUCGACGCCGAUGUCGCGCCGGGGAGCCGUUCGAGCACGUGGACGCCGUAGUUGCACCGAUUGGAGGCCGUUCGAGCGUGCGGUUCCACUUCCUUCGACUUCUCGCCGUGGUUGGACGCCCUUUCGAGAUGGGUCAAAGUGAUGCUUACCGAAUUUUACGGGUUUCCUCCUAAUUCUAUAUAUGUCGACAGCAUGUGUUUUUAGCUUUGUUAGUACAUGGUUUAGCUCGAUUCUCGGAACUGCAUGCUUUUGAACGUGAAUUGGAGUUUAGAAAAAUUAGCUAAAUUAUACAUGUUGGACUUGAAUUUGACUUAGGAGAAAACUAACGUUUCUACACCGUCAUUUGAUCAAACUACCAAAUUUAGGUUUAUGAGCCGUAGUUUAUUUGUAUAGCAACAGUUUGUGGGCGGUGGAUAUCCAGAAUAGUGUAGAAUAAUAUUACGCUCGUGCUAGGAUGCCGUGCUUAUUUUUACAGUAUUAUUCAGACUGUUUCAGAUUGUCGGGUGCCGUUGGGGUUGACGGUGGACCCAAAUGGCUGUUUUUAUAUCAGAUUGUGUCGAGGGUACGUGUGUUUUGGUUGUUAGACCCUGUUAUUUGACUAUAGCUUGUGAGAGCCAUAUUGAGCUCGACAGAGACACACUUGCAUACUCGGUUGGGUAGCGACCAUGACUGCCACUCCGGAGUUGGGCUUUGUGCUUUUGCAUUGGUGUCGUUUAGUCCUGAUUGGACUUGCUUUCACUAAUGAUCGAAUUUGGUGUCAGUUAGUGUAGUUUCGACGGGCGGGACUGGUGUGUUCACAGUCCCUAGUGAGAUUGGGUCAGGAUUUAUAUUUUCUACGGAUAGUUGUAUUAGAGUAUGAUAGUAUAGUGGGAUUUAGCAGUAGAUUUGUUCCAGCUUUCCUUACUAUCCCUACUUACUUCUGUAGACUUAGUGUGUGAGCCGUUGAAGUCAGUAGCGGUACCCACUGAGUACUAUUUCUUUUUGCAGUAGUUCUCACACCCAGUUGUUGAAAUCUUUUGCAGAGCCAUCUUCUUCGGCUGCUGCUGCUGCUGAGUCCGAUCGUGGAAAGGGCGUGACGAGUUAGAGCCCUCCUAACGAGUUGUGGAGCUAGAAGAGUACCAGCUACAUGUAGUUGUAGUUUUUGAGUUAUUAUACAUACUGAUGCUUAUGUAUCUCUAGAGUGAAUAUUUUGUUUACCUGAAUGUGAUGUAUGUAUAGUGAACCUCUGAUAUUUAUAUAUGUUUUAUUUCGGCAGCUCUAUACUACUAGUUGUAGUAUUGUAUGAUUACAGGUACAGGUACAGCUAUCGGUUCGUAUACAGGAAAAAUUUCUUUGUAACCGGCGGAUUUAUCGACGUGGCCGGGAAAACGAGUAAUCCAGAGGUGACAAAUUAGCUAUCCAACAUUUCAAAAUUUUGUUUUUAUCAUCAAAUCUUUCUACAUGUUAAAUUUGAGAGAGUAAAUAAUACAUUAAAUUUAAAAUUUAAAUCUAUCGUUCAGUUUAUAGAUUUAGUUAAUACACUUUACAUAAUUUUCGCAACUAAAUUUAUUAAAAUAAUUUUAACUUAAACUCUAUCAAUCUCUUUUUAUUUUUUAUUAUACAAUUUAUAUCUAACUGAUUAAUAUUGUAAAAUUAAAAUUUAUAUUUAAUACAUAUAAUCUAUACUAUUUACAAAUUACAUAUAAAAAAUUAUAUAUCUUAAAUUUUUAUGACGAAAGAGAAGAGAAUUAAAUUGGAUUUUUAAAAGAAAAAAAUCUAAUUUCUUUACUCCUAAUUAAUUACAGCUCCCCUUCCUCCGCCACCUGGCUAAAAAACUGAGAAUUCAUAUAUGGACAUUAACAUAUAUAAAUAUAGAUGUGAAAUGUAUAAAUUAUAUGUGUUGUUUGUUGUGUCCUUUAUUGAAAAUAGAGGGGCCAAAUUAAUCGAAGCACCGUGCCUUAAACGGAAAAAGGACAUUGAUCCCCUCAAAGGGAAACAAGGUUAAUUAAUUAUACACAAGUAAUAGAAUUAAUUGUAUAAGUAAUUGGUCCCCAUUUGGUGGGUCUCUCCAUUAUAAACUUCUUCUCUAGAAAAGAGCUGUUCCUCAAGUAAUUAUAACCGGUGCAUUUAUAAUCAAAUCCCAUCCUUAACGAACAGUGAUAUUCAAAAAAUAAUAAAUAAUAUUUACUACUUACUAUAUAAAUUUAACCAAUUUUAUUGUAUUUAGUUAAACUAUACAAAACAAUAAAUAUUCUCUUAAAAAGAAUAAGUUAUCAGAGAAUAACAUUUAUUUACACUGAAAAAGUCUAACGUGACUCAAAUUCAGAAUCUCCUACUAUAAUAUCAUAUUAGAGGAUACAAAGCAAUCGCUGCAUUCCAAAAGCUUAAAUUACGUACUAGAGAAUAGUGUUUAUAUAUUUUAUUCAAUAGAUAUAGUAUAGUAAAUAGAAAUUCUAUUUGUGCACCUCUAAAACAGAUGUAGAUCUUAGAAGUCAUUGAUCCAGGAGCUCUUAUUACUUAUUAGUUUUUUUUUUCAACUAAAAACUCAUUUGAGUUCUAUGAAUUUUUUGAUAGAAGUGUCAGAUUUAUACAUAUGUUCAGGUAUAGGUAUAAAUAUAUAGAUAGUAUUUUUCUAGUAAAUAUAUAUAAUGUUAACUAAUAUUUGGAGCUAGGCUGGUAUACUAUCAAUAGCACAGAGGCCUUCGUGCUAUCAAAUUAUUUUCAAUGUUGCAGCUUUCAAAUCGACGAUCGGCUCUAUUAGACUUGAUCUACACUAUUGAAAGUAUUUGAAAACUAAAUUUCAUAAUUUUUCGGUAUCAUUUACCUAUCAAACAAGUAAUCUAAAAACGAACGGCUGAAAAUAAAAAUCUCAUAAAAAAUGAUAAUAAAAAACUUGAAUUUAAAAUCAAAGGUACUAAUCUUAUUCUAAAUAGUGAAAAAAAUUUUCUAUAAAAAUAUUAUCAGAUUUGGAUUGUUUUACACCGUUAAAUUCACAAACGCAUCACAUCUACCAUUAAAGUUGUCAAUUCUAAGACAUUUUGAUCACUAGUCAAAUGAUGUCGAAAAAUUAUGAAAUUUAGUUUCUAAAUACUUUCAAUAACUUAUAGAUCAAGUCUAAUAGAGCCGAUCAUCGAUUUGGAAGCCGCAUUGCUAAAAAUAAUUUAGUAGCACAAAGACCUCUGUACUACCGAUAGCAUACCAGCCUAGCUCCUAAUAUCACCACCAUAUAUAUUUGGCAGACUCUCUCCCA